UUGUGACCACAACCUCUAAACCUUCUUCCUUGUUCAAUGAAAAUAACAAAUCUUUUGCCUAGUUUAGGAAAAAAAGUACCAAGCGACUGUCUGAUUCAGGAACAGCAUAACUUCAGAGUUAAACUGGGGUUACGAAAGCAGAAUAAUCACAAUCCUAACUUCACUUCAUCCUCAGCUACAAUUCAUUUUGUGGAGAGACGGAUUAUGGGCUGUGCAAUCGCGAUGUAUUGAUCGGUGCACCAGGCACGUAUAUAUAAGUACAGAGUUGGACCACAACCUCAACUAUACAGGGAAAACAGGAGGUGGGCCCUACACACACAUAUACACGUACACAAUAUACUCAACACCCCCCGCAGUCGAAGCGGCGCCAGUGACGCAGAAACUGGAACGAAACUCCUCAAAGGUGGAAGUCGGCAGUCCCUUCGUCAUCACAUCAGCGAACUGCUGAGCAGUCGGCACAUGGAGAACCCGCAUGCGUCCAAGAGCCACCUGCUCGCGCACGAAGUGAAUGUCCAGCUCGAUGUGUUUCGUCCGGCGAUGAUGAACGGGGUUGGCGGAGAGGUACACCGCAGAGACGUUGUCGCAGUAGACAACCGUAGCCUGGGAGACAUCGUGAUGUAGCUCCUGAAGUAACUGUCGAAGCCAGGUGCACUCAGCGACAGCGUUGGCCACAGCUCGGUACUCAGCCUCGGCGCUAGAGCGCGAAACCGUGGGUUGUCGCUUGGACGACCACGAGACAAGGGAAGGACCGAGGUAGACGCAGUAGCCAGAGGUGGACCGGCGAGUGUCGGGGCAGCCGGCCCAGUCUGCAUCGGAGUAAGCCACCAUCUCCAAAUAAGUGGACGCCGUGAGUGUCAACCCAAGGGACAUCGUGCCGCGGAUGUAGCGAAGGAUCCGCUUCACGAGAGUCCAGUGAGAGUCACGAGGGGCGUGCAUGUGGAGACACACCUGCUGGACAGCAUACUGAAGAUCCGGUCUGGUGAGUGUCAAGUACUGGAGAGCGCCGACAAUAGACCGGUAGAAUGGAGCAUCCGACGCAGGCGAACCCUCAAGAGCAGAAACCUUGGCCUUCGCGUCAACAGGAGUAGCAACCGGGUGGCAAUUGAGCAUGCCAGCGCGCUCAAGAAGCUCAUGGGCAUACUUCUGUUGAUGAAGAAAGAAGCCGUCCGGGCGCCGAACAACCUCAAUGCCAAGGAAGUAAUGGAGAGCACCCAAGUCCUUGAUAGCGAACUCGUCACGCAGCCGCAGAGUGAUCUGCUGAAGAACGGCUGUGGAGGAGGCUGUCAGGAUGAUGUCGUCGACGUAGAGCAGCAAAUAUGCAGUCGUGUCACCAUGGCGAUAGACAAACAGUGAGGCGUCCGAGCGAGUGACGCUGAAGCCCAGUGUCUGAAGAAACCCGGCGAUCCGCUGGUACCAGGCGCGGGGUGCCUGCUUGAGCCCGUAAAGAGAGCGCGACAGCAGGCACACAUGGCCGGGCAAUGAGGCGUCGACGAAACCGGUGGGUUGCUCACAAAACACCUGCUCCUCAAGAUGGCCGUGGAGGAAGGCGUUGGAGACAUCCAUCUGGUGAACGGGCCAGCCGCGAGAGACGGCGAGCUGGAGGACAGUGCGGAUCGUGCCCGGUUUGACAACCGGGGCAAACGUCUCCGUGAAAUCGACUCCAGCGCGCUGAGCGGGUCUUAUGACGGAAGACCCACUUGCCGGUGAUGACGUUGGCACGAGGAGGCCGGGGCACCAGAGUCCAGGUGCGGUUCCGCUGGAGAGCAUCAAACUCUUCCUGCAUCGCCGCAAGCCAGUGAGGAUCACGUAGGGCGGCGCGGGCGGACGUAGGAAUGGGUGACGGCUCCGCGGCAGAGGCGCGAGGACGUACUCAUCACGCGAGUACNNNNNNNNNNNNNNNNNNNNNNNNNNNNNNNNNNNNNNNNNNNNNNNNNNNNNNNNNNNNNNNNNNNNNNNNNNNNNNNNNNNNNNNNNNNNNNNNNNNNNNNNNNNNNNNNNNNNNNNNNNNNNNNNNNNNNNNNNNNNNNNNNNNNNNNNNNNNNNNNNNNNNNNNNNNNNNNNNNNNNNNNNNNNNNNNNNNNNNNNNNNNNNNNNNNNNNNNNNNNNNNNNNNNNNNNNNNNNNNNNNNNNNNNNNNNNNNNNNNNNNNNNNNNNNNNNNNNNNNNNNNNNNNNNNNNNNNNNNNNNNNNNNNNNNNNNNNNNNNNNNNNNNNNNNNNNNNNNNNNNNNNNNNNNNNNNNNNNNNNNNNNNNNNNNNNNNNNNNNNNNNNNNNNNNNNNNNNNNNNNNNNNNNNNNNNNNNNNNNNNNNNNNNNNNNNNNNNNNNNNNNNNNNNNNNNNNNNNNNNNNNNNNNNNNNNNNNNNNNNNNNNNNNNNNNNNNNNNNNNNNNNNNNNNNNNNNNNNNNNNNNNNNNNNNNNNNNNNNNNNNNNNNNNNNNNNNNNNNNNNNNNNNNNNNNNNNNNNNNNNNNNNNNNNNNNNNNNNNNNNNNNNNNNNNNNNNNNNNNNNNNNNNNNNNCGUCGAGGCGGCCGGAGAUGGAGCCGGUGAAGAGGCGCCCGACCCCACGGCGCCCGAGUCGGGGGCGGCGGGUGAAGGCGGGGUGCCGGCCAUGGAGGGCGCCGGCAGUAGGGCCCGUGGACCGCCAAAGCCCGGAGGCGGUCCACGAACCAGGCGUGCUCGUCCAUCUGACGAGGUCGUCGAUGGGCCGCCGGUGGCCGGCGGUGACGAGACGACGGGGGGUGCCUGCUGCUGAAACGGGAAGACCAUCUCAUCAAAGUAGACGUGUCGGGAGGUGAAAACACGGUGAGAGACUGGAUCGUAGCAGCGGUAACCCUUAGUGUUAGGUGGGUAGCCAAGAAAGAUGCAGGCGACGGAGCGGGGUGCGAGCUUAUGAGGCGCAGUGGCAGCGAUGCUAGGGUAGCACAGGCAGCCAAAGAUGCGAAGCCCUUCAUAAGAGGGGGGGCACCGAAUAGAAGAUGGUGAGGUGUAAAGUUCCCGCGAGUACGUCAUGGACGGAUGUUGAUGAGAAGAGAAGCGGUGGCGAGAGUGUCAGGCCAAAAGCGCGGGGGCACAUUGGCGUGAAAGAGAAGAGUCCGAACGCAGUCAUUAAGAGUGCGAAGGAUGCGCUCAGCACGACCGUUCUGCUGCGAGGUGUACGGGCAAGUGAGACGAAAAAUCUUGCCAUGUGUGGCGAGAAGAUCGCGGACAGCGGUGUUGUCAAACUCCUUCCCGUUGUCUGUCUGCAACGCAAGAAUGGGCCGGCCAAACUGCGUGCGGACAUAAGAGUAGAAACCGACAAGAGUGGAGAUGACGUCCGACUUGCGGCGCAACGGGAAGGUCCACACAUAAUGCAAAAAAUCAUCAAGGAUAACAAGAUAAUAAAGAAAGCCCGCGUUACUUGCAACAGGAGAUGUCCAAACAUCACUAUGAAUCAACUCAAAUGGGUACGAGGCAACAAAGGAAGAAGCCCUAAACGGAAGACGAGCAUGUUUGCCAAGGCGGCAUGCAUGACACGAGUGAUCCUCGUUCUUAUUACACGUGAAAGAAAAACUCCGAAGUAUGUGGCGAAGGGUGGCAUGAUUAGGAUGACCCAAGCGAGCGUGCCAGAGAUCCACUCCGGUGGCGAGAGCGACAGGGGCGGCGGAAGUGGUGGAGGCGGCGGAGUGAACCGGGUAGAGCUCGUCGGGGCUGUCACAUCGGUGGAGCACCAUCCGCGUGCGAGCGUCCUUAACAGAAAAGCCACAUUCGUCAAAUUCAACGGUCACCGGAUUUUCACGUGUAAGAGAACGAACGGAAACAAGAUUUUUUAAUAAGAUCAGGAGAAACAAGAAUAUUGGACAUGGAUAUAGGAGUGGAGUUAGACGGAAAAUAUGUAUGUCCAAUAUGGGUGAUAGGAAGAGAAGAACCGUCACCGACGGUGAUGCGGUUGGAGGUGUGGACAGGGUGAGCAGUGUGGAGGUUACCGGGGUACGCCGCCAUAUGAGCGGUGGCGCCACUGUCCAUGUACCAAUCGCCGCCGCCGGUGUAGCUGGACGGGGAGGGGGCGGUGUGGAGAGCCGCCAGGAGAGCCGGGUCCCACGGCGCCGGUGGGAGGGACGGCGCAGACGUCAGGGGCAGCGGCGGCGGCCCGCCUGGCGGCGGCUGCUGCCCGUAGGGCGCCGCAUAGGGCUGCGGCGCGGCGUAAUACGCCUGGUGUGACAGAGGCCGAGUGCUAAGAAGACCCGGAGUAGGAGCCCGUGGAACUGGCAUGGAAUAGGCGUGGACGACGCCGGUCCACGAGUUCUGACCGGCGUACCACGGGGCCGCCGGCUGAGGAGCCGGCUGCUGCUGGCGUGGCGCUCCUCCCUGAGCACCGCCACCACCACCGCCGCCUCCCUGCUUGCGGCCACCCCGGCGGCCGCCGUGACGGCCUCCUCCAUUGGCCGCCGGCUGGGGCGGCGGGAAGGGGGCUGGUGGGGCGGGCGGGAAGCCCGGCGGGAAGGCGGGCGCCGCCNNNNNNNNNNNNNNNNNNNNNNNNNNNNNNNNNNNNNNNNNNNNNNNNNNNNNNNNNNNNNNNNNNNNNNNNNNNNNNNNNNNNNNNNNNNNNNNNNNNNNNNNNNNNNNNNNNNNNNNNNNNNNNNNNNNNNNNNNNNNNNNNNNNNNNNNNNNNNNNNNNNNNNNNNNNNNNNNNNNNNNNNNNNNNNNNNNNNNNNNNNNNNNNNNNNNNNNNNNNNNNNNNNNNNNNNNNNNNNNNNNNNNNNNNNNNNNNNNNNNNNNNNNNNNNNNNNNNNNNNNNNNNNNNNNNNNNNNNNNNNNNNNNNNNNNNNNNNNNNNNNNNNNNNNNNNNNNNNNNNNNNNNNNNNNNNNNNNNNNNNNNNNNNNNNNNNNNNNNNNNNNNNNNNNNNNNNNNNNNNNNNNNNNNNNNNNNNNNNNNNNNNNNNNNNNNNNNNNNNNNNNNNNNNNNNNNNNNNNNNNNNNNNNNNNNNNNNNNNNNNNNNNNNNNNNNNNNNNNNNNNNNNNNNNNNNNNNNNNNNNNNNNNNNNNNNNNNNNNNNNNNNGCCGGCAACAAGGGCGGUGUGGGUGGCGCGCGUCUGGGCCGCCCGCAUCCCGCGUUCCUCCAGCUUGAGGUAUGCGACCACCUUGCCAAAGGUGGGCUCCGGGAUGAGGGUGAGGUUGGAGGCGGCGUUCCCGAAGUCCUCGUUGAGGCCGCCGGAGAGGGUGCUGAUGAGGAGCUCGUCGUCAAUCUUCUCCCCCAGAUCACGGAGCUCAUCGGCGAGCUUCUUGAGGCGCAUGCAAAAAUCAUCGAUGGACGAGUCAAGUUGCUGGCACCCGUAAAACUCCAUAGAGGAGGACCUUGCGCUGCAGCCGAUUGUCGGUGAAGAGGCCGUUGAGCUUGGUCCAGACUGCAUGGGCGUCGUCCUCGUCGUCCACCACGGUGUGGAAGAUGUCGCUGGAGAUGGUGAGGUAGAACCAGCGGAUGAUGGUGGCGUCGAGGAUCAUCCACUCCUCGUCGUGGAUCAUGAGCGCAGAGUCCACGGUGCCGUCCACGUGGCCGUGAAGGAGGUACUCACGAAACACGAGCGAAAAAUACCGCUUCCACGCGGAGUAGGAGGCGGUGGUGUGGUCAAGCUUGACCGGGACGCGCUCAUGGAUGUUCAGAUCGCGGACGAGGGUGACGUCGGGGCCGGCGAACGGGUUGGAGACGGUAGAGGAGGAGGAGCUCAUGAUGGCGGCGGUGGUGGGGUUAGGGCGCGGCGCGGGUUGGGAGUGAUGGAGCGGAAGCGGUGCGGCGGCCUUGGGACGGGAGGCGGCGGCGGCGGCAGGCGGGGCGGGCGUGUGGCGGCGGCGGCGACGNNNNNNNNNNNNNNNNNNNNNNNNNNNNNNNNNNNNNNNNNNNNNNNNNNNNNNNNNNNNNNNNNNNNNNNNNNNNNNNNNNNNNNNNNNNNNNNNNNNNNNNNNNNNNNNNNNNNNNNNNNNNNNNNNNNNNNNNNNNNNNNNNNNNNNNNNNNNNNNNNNNNNNNNNNNNNNNNNNNNNNNNNNNNNNNNNNNNNNNNNNNNNNNNNNNNNNNNNNNNNNNNNNNNNNNNNNNNNNNNNNNNNNNNNNNNNNNNNNNNNNNNNNNNNNNNNNNNNNNNNNNNNNNNNNNNNNNNNNNNNNNNNNNNNNNNNNNNNNNNNNNNNNNNNNNNNNNNNNNNNNNNNNNNNNNNNNNNNNNNNNNNNNNNNNNNNNNNNNNNNNNNNNNNNNNNNNNNNNNNNNNNNNNNNNNNNNNNNNNNCGCGGAGCCGCGCGGCGGCGGCGACGGGGGUUAGGACCUUACUGCGAUAGAUACCAUGUGGAGAGACGGAUUAUGGGCUGUGCAAUCGCGAUGUAUUGAUCGGUGCACCAGGCACAUAUAUAUAAGUACAUAGUUGGACCACAAUCUCAACUAUACAGGGAAAACAGAAGGUGGGCCCUACACACACAUAUACACGUACACAAUAUACUCAACACAUUUCACCCCCCAAUUCAACAGAUACGAUUCCGAACUACCUAAAUCAGCACGGUCCAAAAACAAAAACAGAGCUCAUACAACUGCCUGGUGCAGCCACCUGGAACUACAGUCAGAAAGGGAUCAAUCGAUGCGGUUCCCAUCUACUCUUCCUCCAUGUCGUCCACCUCUCCGCCGUCCUGCAUGAUCUUCAUCUUCUUCACGGCGUGCGCCGCAUCGCCCUCAACAGCUCCGCUAGGAACCUGGAUGAGGAUGUCGGACUUGUGGCCCGUGCGCGCGUUCACCAGCCCUCCGUGCUUGUCGACGCCAUAGGUCAGCUCGUCCUUGCUGGGCGCAGCGUCGAUGUACACCGUGGAGUUCUCGUCGAUCUCCUCGCGGAUCAACAUCUUGGAAAGCUCCGUCACUAUCCUCUUCUCGAUCCAUCUCCUGAUUGGCCUGGCGCCGUACACCUGUUGCCACAAUUGAAAUGUCACCGAGUUAGAAUCUACUCCAGAAGAUACUCCUUGAUCAGUGCUUGAUUAGUGAAGAAUGAGAUUCGAUACUUCCACGUACCGGAUCAUAAGAGAGUGAGAGGAUGACGUCCAGGGCAGCGUCUGUGACGGCCAAGGCAACGCCCCUCUCCGCAAGACGUACUGCCACAUCUUUCAUCUGAAGCCGGGCAACCUUCCGCAGCUGCUCGUGCGACAGAGGGUCGAAGAUGACGAUCUCGUCCAGACGGUUCAGCAGCUCCGGGCGGAAAUGCCUCCUCACCUGCAGGUGAACAUUGUUCUCGCAUUAGGCAUCAGACCGCAAACUGAUUGAUUCCGAACAAAAGGCAGAUCAGGGGCAAAUUCAGUAGUACAUACCUCCUGCAUGACGAGAUCGCGAGCAACCUUCAUGGAGUUGCCCACCAUUCCGGCGAGGAGGUGCUCCGCGCCAAGGUUCGAGGUCAUGAUGAUGACGGUGUUCCUGAAAUCAACCGUCCUGCCUUGCCCGUCGGUCAACCGCCCGUCGUCCAGGACCUGGAGCAGGGUGUUGAAUACCGCCACAUGUGCCUUCUCAACCUCGUCGAAGAGGAUGACACUGUAUGGCCUCCUCCUCACUUGCUCUGUCAGCUGCCCUCCUUCCUCAUGACCAACGUAACUGCAAAUUCACAACAAGUUCAGAUGUCAAAACUCAGAAAUCGCAUAACAUGCACAGAUCCAUAGUGAGCAUACAGAAUUACUCGAGUACUUACCCAGGUGGGGCACCGAUUAGCCGGGCAACCGAAUGCUGCUCCAUGUAUUCAGACAGGUCAAUGCGGACGAGCAGGUUCUCGUCAUCAAACAGCUGCUCAGCUAGAGCCUUGGCGAGCUCGGUUUUACCCACACCGGUCGGCCCGAGGAAGAGGAAUGAACCAGUAGGCUGCUGUGGCCGUCCAAGGCCAGCCCUCGACCGCAAAACAGCCUCUCCGACUGCAUUGACGGCCUCAUACUGUCCAACCACCCUCUGAUGCAGUCUAUCAGCCAGACCGAUCAGCCUGGCCUUCUCAUUCUGUCCCAGCCUAGUGACAGGAAUGCCAGUCCAGCGGCUCACCACCUGCGUAUGCAAAGAGAUUGUCUCAAUACAACAUCGUUCAUACCUGAAGAGUGAACAACACCAUAAAAUUGAUUGCAACAACGAACUUACCUCGGCAAUCUGGUCCGGGCCGACAGUCUCUGUUAACAUCAGGUUCUCGCCGGUCUCACCCUCCAGCUUAGCGAUGGCAGCAUCAACCUCCUGCAGAGCACCGUAUCUGAGAUCAGCCACGCGGGCCAAAUCCAUCCGGCGCUCGGCCUCCUGCAGAGUGAACUGCAGCUCUUCGCGGCGCUGCUUCAGUCUCCUGAUCUCGUCGAUCCUCUCUUUCUCCUUGCGAUACUUCAUCUGCAGCGGCUGCAGCUUGUCUCGCAGAUCGUCCAACUCUUUCCUCACCUGAAACAGUUCCGAGUUUUUGCACAUUGUCAGAACAGAGCAGGCACAGUGCAGUUUUUGCACAUUAUCAGAACGAAUCAGCUACACUGAUAAAAUCAAGAUCACCAAAUUCACCGGUUACUCACAUCAACUAGCCGAGCUUUGCUAGCCUUGUCCUUCUCCUUCUCGAGGGCAUGGAGCUCGACUUCCAACUGGAUCCUCUUCCUCUCGAGGUUGUCGAUCUCUUCAGGCUGGCUGUCAAGUUGCACCCUCACAUUUGCGCAGGCCUCGUCAACCAAAUCGAUUGCUUUAUCAGGCAGAUGACGACCUGUAACAAAAGGAAAAAUAUCGUCGAUUUAAGACCGGAGAUCAAUCAAUGCAAAAACACUGCAAAAUUGACCGUGCAGAAAUCACAAUGUCAGAAAAUUGGCUUGGCAAGAACAGAGCACUUACCCAUGAUGUACCUCGACGAGAGCUGCGCGGCAAUGACGAGCGCGCGGUCCUGAAUCCUCACACCAUGGUGCCCCUCGUACUUCUCCUUGAGCCCUCUCAGUAUGCUGACGGUGUCGGGGACGCUGGGCUCUGCCACGAACACCUGCUGGAACCGCCUCUCGAACGCCGCGUCCUUCUCCACGUACUUCCUGUACUCCUCGAGGGUCGUCGCGCCAAUGCACCUGAGCUGCCCCCUCGCCAGCAUCGGCUUGAACAGGUUGGCCGCGUCCAUGGACCCCUCCGUCCGCCCGGCGCCGAGCACCAGGUGUAUCUCGUCGAUGAACAGUAUCACCUUCCCCUCGGCCUCCUCCACCUCCUUGAGCACGGCCUUGAGCCGCUCCUCGAACUCGCCGCGGUACUUGGCGCCGGCCACGAGCGCGCCCAUGUCCAGCGCGACCAGGCGCACGUCCAGGAGGUUGCUGGGGACGUCGCCGCGCACGACGCGCUGCGCGAGCCCCUCCACCACGGCGGUCUUGCCCACGCCGGGCUCGCCGAUCAGGACGGGGUUGUUCUUGGUGCGCCGCGACAGGAUCCGCACCACGCGCCGGAUCUCCUCGUCGCGGCCGAUGACCGGGUCCAGCUUGCCCGCCACCUCCACGAGGUCGCGGCCGUACGUCUUGAGGGCCUGGAAGUUGGUGUCCCCCGACGCGGACUCCACGCGCCGGUUGUCGCCUCCCCGGAGCUUCUCGACCUCUGCCUUCACCCGCGCGGCGGAGAUGCCGGCCUCCUUGAGCGCGUCGGAGAUCUGUGGGUCCUCGAGGAGGCCCAUGAGCAGCUGGUCGACGGCGAGGUGCGAGUCGCCGCGCGACUUCUGCGCCGACUGCGCGCGGCGGACGGCCUUGACCAGCGAAGUGGAGGCCGGGACGGUGUCGGGCGGCGGGGACUGCGAAGGCAGCCGCUUGAGCGCUGCGGUCGCGACGCGCUCGAACGACUCGGCCGCGGCGUCGUUGCCGCCGGACGCGUGGGCGAUGGCCUGGCGGAGGAUGCCCGACCUGUCCGCCGCGAGCGCCGCGGCGAGGUGCAGCGGCGUGAGCUGCGCAUGGCCGGCCUCGGACGCCAUCUCGUGCGCCGCCGCGAGCGCCUCAUUGGUCUUGUGCGUGAACUUGUCGGGAUUCAUGGCUUCGCUUCUGCGAACUACGGAUUAACUGCAACGGAACUGGCAAUGGUGAUUUGGGGGGAUUCGUUGGUUCGAUGAUUCGCCUUGGUGUCUUCUUCUCGUCGGAAAUUGUUGGGGGGAGAUCGGAGAUGAGAUGGGUAAUAAGAGGCGGGAGGGGAGGAUUCGCCGGAGGUCUAGAACGGCGUGGAAGCGGCGGGAAGGGGGCGAGUUAGGGGGGACAAGAAUGUCCGAGAACAUUCUAGUGUGGAACCGUUUUAUUUGGGAAAACCGGAACCGUGCGCGUUACUGUAUCUACUAUCACACGAGACAGUAUCCUGACCGUUGGUUCCGAUUUCAUGCCUUCCCCGUUUUUUUUUUUCGCUCUGUGCCCAGCAACUAUGUACAUGAAAUUCCUAAAAAAAACUAUGGACAGUAUACUUCCUCUAUCCCAUAAUAUAAGACUUUUUUACUCUAGUAUAGUGUCCAAAAGGUCUUGAUUAUGGGACGGGGGAGUAAUUUUUAAAGGGUAAAAGUAAAAUGAAACUUUUAUUUAACACAUUACAAUCGCAGAUGCUCACAAACACGCACAUAUACUAGCCCUUAUUAAUGCACGUAUACCUUGAAGGUGCCGAGUCGGCGCAAUAUCUUAUAAGAUUGAUAAAGUCACCACAAUCAUUUCAUAGUCGAUGGAAACAUCUCCUCCGACUGAACGAACAUCGCCAGAAACCUAACCAGUACCAGAUCUAGGACUUCAACCCUGAUGGGAUGGUUUCACCAAAAGAAAUCUAAUCAUCUGAGCUACGCUCAGCUCGCAAAAAUGUAAUGAAACUUGAAAAAUAUGAAAUACCUCAUUCUUCUCUCUCUUUUCAACAAUAUAAAUAAAUAAAAAUUUCUUAUAAAGAGUGUUUUAUUGAUUCAUAAUGUCGCAUCAAAGGAAUACAAGCAUAACUCGUUCGGCCUCUUUACGUCUAGGAUGCGCAGAGACAACAACAACAAAAAAGAUUUGUAAAGGCGUAGGCAAGGAAAAUGAUCCACUAGGCAAAACAUCAAGAACUACCCACUGCCUUUUACCACACCCAUAAUAUGAGAAGAUUCCCCAACAGCAAUGCCCUCACUAAGGAAAGGGUGCAUGAGCGUCAUUGUCAUUGGAUUCAACCACUAAGGUCAGAUUAUGGAUUUUCAUCCAAUAAAGGAAGUCCGAGCAAACUUCAGACAAUGUCUUCAACGAAGAGAGCGUAGACCGCCAGUAGUAAAUGUUAAACCUAGGGUUUUCCCCUGGACUCAAGAUCUUCUUCUAUGUGUGAGAUGAACUUUGGCUAUUCUUAUGCCGGUAUUGCUUUGAGUUUCUUGUAUGAUUUAUCUUGGCAAAAAUGAUGAUUCUAGAUGCACAACAAGUCGCAGAGCUCCCCAUUUACAGCUAGAAGACAAGCAACUAAUAUUGUGCAGUAAUUCACAGUACCGUGCGGAAAAUACCUAUACAAAAGGGGAUUGUCCGUUUUAUAAGUUGUUUGAGAAUGAUUUCAUUGCAUCUCAAUAGUAGUAACAUGCCUUUAAAAUCUACAUAUAAGGGCCUCUUUGAUUCAUAGGAUUGCAGAAACACAGGAAUAGGAAAAAUGUAGGAUUGGAACGGCAUGUCGAUUGGAUCCCUAUAGGAUUUGAGCUUGUUUGAUUGUGUCACGGGAAAAACAAAGGAUUUCUUCCAAGAGGUUGGAGUGGAUGUUAGAAUACCUAUGAAACGCAACACAAAUGAAUCCUUAGGAGAAAAUCCUACAGAACUCAAUCCUACGAAUCAAACAACAAAUGUAGGAAACUGUCCUAAGGAUUCUAAUCCUUCAAAGAUCCUAUGAAAAUCCUUUGAAUUAAAGAGAUUGUCGUGGUUUUGUCACGGCAUAUGUCCUAGUGUGAGGACUUAGUCAUGAGGCCAUCACAACUAGGUAGUCGCUUGAACGGGGUUGGUCGGCAUCGAGAAACGUGGGAUUUUACCCAGGUUCGACCCCUCACGGUGGAGGUAAAAGCCUACAUCCUGCUUCAUUGAUAUUGAUGAUGAUGAUGCUCUCGGUUACAAGGGCGGUGUUUUGCUACCUCUAUCUCGAGAGCAUCUACUUUGAUCUUGUCUAAGACUUGUCUGUCUUUCUAAACUCCUCCCUCUUGGGGUGCCUUGCCCCUCCUUAUAUAAGUUGAAGGGGCUGGCUUACAUGUACAGUCCUAGUAGGAUUAGGACUAGUCUAUCUUCUAUUACAAACCAACUACAAGUCCGGGUCUUGCUUUCCUUGUCGGGUCUUGCUCUUCUUGGACCUUCUCCAUGAGACGGCCGUCCAGGCCUCUCCUUGAGUUGCCCCUCUCACGAGCCGCCUUCUGGGCCUUGGGCCUUGCCGCUUGUCUGACCCACUAACCGGAUCACCAAUGAACCACCAAGUCCGGACGGGUUACCGAUGAGGCGCCAAGUCCCGGUCGGGUCAUACUUCAGGUCGGGUUAUACCAUGGGGUAUAUCCGCAACAGACACCCUAACCGUUCUCGUCAUAUGAUUUGAAUUUUGUAAUGAAACUUUGCUAAAAUUGUAUGCUUUCUAUAUCAUGUUCAGUGACUGGGAUUUACGAAAGUCUCAGGCGAGUGAGAAUGAUGAAGCGUGUUGGUAAUAUAUUACUCCCUCUAUCCCAAAAUAAGUGGCUCAACUUUGUACUAGCUUUAGUAUAAAGUUAGUACAAAGUUCAGUCACUUAUUUUGGGAUGGAGGGAGUAUAUAAGAGAGGUCGUGAUAGACCAAACUUAACAUAGGAGGAGUCCAUAAAGAGAGAUUCGAAGGAGUGGAAUAUUUGAAAGUGCUAGUUAUCGACUAAAGGGGGGUGACUAGGCGAUUUUUAUGAAAGACUUCAAGACAGGCAAUGUCUUCGAAGACAAACAACCAAAUACAACCUACACAGUAUGCAACAGAAGAUAAACUACACUAGCCAGGACAUAGUCUAGGAAAUAGUACAGAGUAAACACGAAGGCAAACAUCAACUAGGUAGAGUGGAUUUGACUAGGAAGAUAAUAUGAAGCCAAACAUAAAAACAGAAAGAUUUUUUUCAGACAGUGAAGUUAAACAGAGCAGGCAAGCAACGACUUCACGAAGCGAAACUAUAAGUAAAGGGUAAAGUGAUAGAACCAGUUGCUUAACGAAGACACGAAUUUGGUAGACCAGUUCUAGUUGCUCUGACAACUGUACGUCUAGUUAGGGAGGCUGAGAUUGAACUCAGAAGACUGUCGGUGUCAAAAUCGGCAGAUCUCGGGUAGGGGGUCCCGAACUGUGCGUCAGAGGAUCAAAGGUAACAAGGAGGCAGGGGACACGAUGUUUACCCAGGUUCGGGCCCUCUUAAUGGAGGUAAUACCCUACUUCCUGCUUGAUUGACUUUGAUGAGUAUAGGGGUUAUAAGAGUUGAUCUACGUCGAGAUCAUAAUGGCUAAACCCUAGAUGUCUAGCAUGUAUGAUUGUUAUCCUCCCUAUGGACUGAGCCAUCUAGUUUAUAUAGGCACCGGAGGGAUCUAGAGUCGUAUAGAGUCGGUUUAUAGAGAAAGGAAGGUACAUGAUCUGAACGCCAAGCUUGCCAUCCACGCAAAGGGGAGUCCCAUCCGGACAUGGGGGAGGCCCUUCUAUCUUGUAUCUUCUCGGCCCAUCAGUCUGGCCCAUGUCACAUAGGCCGGCUCGCCGAGGACCCCAUAGUCCAGGACUCCCUCAGUAGCCCCUGAACCGGGCUUCAAUGACGAUAUGUUCGGCGUGUAGAUUGUCUUCGGCAUUGCAAGGCAUGUUCCUUCUCAGAAUACUCCAAUGCAGUCCUCCAUGCAAAACAGCUCUGUCCGGCUUUAUUAAACAAUCACAGCCUUAAGCUGUAAGGAAAAAAUAUUCGAAACGAAAUAAGUGACGUCCUUAGGCGAUUUUUCCGGCAAGGCGUUAUGUCUUGGCUUUGUUAGCAUUCUGAACCGUUUCACAGCCUCAUUUCAUAUUUCGAGGCACGGCCAUUGACACGUCUUGUAAAAGCAGAGAUCGUGUCCUCUUAUCAUGGGAUUUUCAUAAACAGGGGUUUGGGUAAUCCAACCGUGCCGUUCACACGUCCCCUUGGGAAUAGGCGAGAUUUAAGGCUCGUGAGGGGCGCUUGACAUCCACUGCCUUUAUAAGAAGAUAAAGAUCCGUCUCUUUACCCUACGCCUUCUUCCUCCUCUGCCUAUUUGCCAUUCGAGCUCCAGCGCAAGUCUCAAUCUUUUCCAUCGCCACCAAACACCCCUAGCCAUGUCCGGAUCUGGAGCGCGAGGCAAGUGGAUGGCCUCCUCUGUUACAUAGGAGAACAUCAAGGAGCUCCGGGAGGCUGGGUAUCUGUCCACGGACAUAGUCCAUCGUCUCCCUGCUAAAAAGAAGAUCAUCCCCACUCCGGAGCCCAAUGAAAGGGUAGUGUUCAUCCCUCAUUUCCUUCGCGGACUAGGGUUUCCCCUUCAUCCUUUCAACCGCGGUCUCAUGUUCUACUAUGGGCUAGAUUUUCAUGAUCUGGCCCCAAAUUCCUUCCUCAACCUUUCAGCGUUUAUCGUCGUGUGCGAGGCAUUCCUCCGCGUCCCUCCCCACUUCGGCCUAUGGAUCAAGGUCUUCAAUAUGAAGCCAAAGGUGGUCGAGGGCCAACACGUGGAGUGCGGCGGCGUCAUGAUGAGCAAACUCCCCAACGUCACCUGGCCUAAGGGGACCUUUGUGGAGAGAGUCAAAGGAUGGCAGCGGGGGUGGUUCUAUAUCAUGGAACCCCACAACGCCACAUGGGCCACCGCUCCUGAAUUCAAAUCUGGGCCCCCGAUGCGGCUUACAUCCUGGCUCGAUAAGGGCCUAGAUUGGGAAUCGUCGGAUGAGGUGAUGGCAUUGGAGAGCCGGGUCAAGGGCAUGGUAAACAAGAACACUAGCCUCGCCAGCAUGAUCCAGGUGAUGCUUUUUUGCCGGAUUCUCCCUUGUCAACGCCGGACCUAACAUAUGUGGGAAUUCGACCCGACCGGUCCUCGGACCCUGCAGCGAUUCUUCGGCACGACGCACGAAGACAUAUGGAAGCUGCUCUUCAAGACUCAAAAGUCGUGGCCAGAGAUGACCGAAGACCGCAGCCUUGACUGCGCAUGCCCAUCCAUUACCGUAAGUUUUAUGAUAACUUUUAUUUGCAAAUACAAGGAGUAUAUUGAACUUUCUGACUCUCAUAGGGCUGGACAAAGAAUGCGGAGCAGAUCAAAUGUCCGGCUCCGCUGCCCGAGGACCAUGCUACCCCCUUGCUGACCAAUAUGUUGGUUCUGGCUCUGUAUCAGGCGUCGGAGAAGAAGGCCAAGAAUAAGGGUAAGGAGACCAGAGGUGGUCUCCAUCGUAAGGAUACUUCGGACGCCAAGUCCAAAGACUACGAUACCUCCUCCUCCCAUGAUGAAGAUGUAGAGGAGGAGGAGAGUAACUCCCCCCCCCAAGGGGGGAGAAGAAGAGGCCGACUUCCACAGAUCUGGAGGCGGAGGCGGCCAAGAAGGGAAAACCCUCCCUUUCAGAUGAUUCCGAAGGGGAUGCCGAUGCCAUCCCAAAGCGGCACGCCAGGCUAAAGCCCUUGGCUGAAUCAUAAGUAUCUGAAGACACCAUACAUAUAUCUGAUUGUAUGCCUUAUUAUUUUAACAUACUGAAUUGCGCAUUAUAUCCCGGCUCGUGAUUUCCCCCAACGAUCAUCGUCAUCUGGGAACUCGCUAGGGGCGAACGCGAUGGAGAGUGAGUCGCCUCCGCAGAUCUCUCCACCCACUGCCUCGGAUAACACUGAAGUGUUAUCCCAAAGAACCUCUCCACGACAUGGGGAGGUACAAGAGGCUAUGAAGGUGGCGGAGGAUGGUAACACCUCUGUUGCCGAAGAAAGGGGGAAAUCAACCCCCAUGGAGACCGACGAUGGGGGCAAAGCUUAAUUCGGCCCCCAACUGAAUAUUAUUCCGGAGACCCAUACGGCUCCGGAAUCGGACCAACAGCCUUCUUCAAGGGAAGGGGUCAUGCCGUCUCCACCGGCGUCCUCUAUCAAUCCAGAGGCGCCAGACACUCUGAUGGAAGCGCUUCAAAGUGCUUCCAUUGUGGAGGAGCACCGUACCCUUAUGGGUACAGUAGUUGAAAAGGUCUGGUCCGCUAAAAGUAGAUUGAACCAAGCCUAUACCAGCCUUCUGACAGGCUUUGAGGUAUGUGAAGUAAUAUAUUUUUAGUUAUUUACAAAAGGAAUACAUGUAUAUAGAUAGUAGCCCCUGAGACUUUGUUCAGCAUUUCAUGAAGAAAGGACGAACAGAGGAUCAAAUAAUACCUCUCAGGAGCUGGCAUAUAUGUCUACUUCGAUGAACAGGCUGCAAAGCUGGCAGCAGCCUCGCAUGCGACCGAAGUGUCCCAACUAAAGUGGAAGCUAGAGGAAAAGCAAGGUAUGUUAUACCGAAGCAUAUCUGAACUUCUAUGAGUUAUAAUGUAUUAUCUGACUUGAGCGUUAUGUUUAUGCUCAUAGUUGACACGUCUGAGGUUGAAGCCCUCAAGAGCGCACUGGCCGAAGCCAAGAAGGAGGCAGACGAGGAACGAACCGCCCCCAAAAGCAUGAGGCGAGGUUGGAUGAAGUCCAACAAGAGCUCAUAGAUGCUAUAAGAAAAUGUGAGUCUUUGGAGCGUGAGGUGUCGGAGCAAGACUCCAAACUUGCUACAACGCUCCAAAGUGCAAAGGAAGCCUGGGUUGAAGCCCAAGGCACAUGUCAGGAGAUCCAAGAAGCCAAGAAGAUCGCGGCGGGUAAGGUUUUUAAUAUGUAGAGCAAGUUCAUAAGGAGAAAGUACACCUUUCUGACAUGCAUUUGGAGUUCUCCAUGAGCAUUUGCGGAUCUUCCCCGAAGUAUUGCAGAUGCGGCAGAUUUCUUCCAAGCCGAAGAGGGGAGGUUAACAGAGAUAUUGUUCUGGUCACAGUACCUUACGCCAGAGCAGUAUGUGCCCCUCAGUGAUCAGGUGAAACAGCUGACCGAGCUACAUAGGAUGGCUGAACUAGCCAUGAAGGAUAUCAUAGUCCGUCUUUGGCCAGCCGAACCCAUACCUAAUAGCUAUUUCGGGCUUGUGAAGCGGCUAAUCAAUGCCUUCCCACGACUUGAUGCUAUAAAGCGGUCAGUCUAUAUCGAAGGCGCCUGGAUGGCCUUCGCCCGCGUCAAGAUGCAGUGGGCAAAGAUGAAUGCCACUAGUCUUGCAACCGAGGGACCGCCAGCAGGCAAGGAGCAUCGUACGCCGGAGUGAUACUUCAACAACAUCCUUGAAGGUUCCUGCAUUAUAGAGGGCAUGUGUUCGAAGGACAUCAUAUUUGAAUGAAUGUAGCCAUGCUGCCUGAUGACCCACAAGUGUAGGGGAUCUAUCGUAGUCCUUUCGAUAAGUAAGAGUGUCGAACCCAAUGAGGAGCAGAAGGAAAUGAUUAACCCCUAUUGCAAGCAUCCACAACUACAAAAGAAGUAUUAAGGUAAACCUAACCGUAGCAUGAAACAUGUGGAUCCAAAUCAGCCCCUUACGAAGCAACGCAUAAACUAUGGUUUAAGCUUCUAUCACUCUAGCAACCCAUCAUCUACUUAUUACUUCCAAAUGCCUUCCUCUAGGCCCAAACAAUGGUGAAGUGUCAUGUAGUCGACGUUCACAUAACACCACUAGAGGAAAGACAACAUACAUCUCAUCAAAAUAUCGAACGAAUACCAAAUUCACAUGACUACUUAUAGCAAGACUUCACGCAUGUCCUCAGGAACAAACGUAAGUACUCACAAAUCAUAUUCAUGUUCAUAAUCAGAGGGGUAUAAAUAUGCAUUAAGGAUCUGAACAUGUGAUCUUCGACCGAAUAAACCAACUAGCAUCAACUACAAGGAGUAAUCAACACUACUAGUGACCCACAUGUACCAAUCUGAGGUUUUGAGACAAAGAUUGGAUACAAGAGAUGAACUAGGGUUUGAGAGGAGAUGGUGCUGGUGAAGAUGUUGAUGGAGGUUGACCCCCUCCCGAUGAUAGGAUUGAUGGUGAUGACGAUGGUGAUGAUUUCUCCCUCCCGGAGGGAUGUUUCCCUGGCAGAACAGCUCCGCCGGAGCCCUAGAUUGGUUCCGCCAAGGUUCCGCCUCGUGGUGGCGGAGUUUCAUCCCGAAAGCUUGCUUAUGAUUUUUAUCAGGGUAAAAGACUUCAUAUAGCAGAAGAUGGGCACCGGAGGGCUGGCAGGGGGCCUGAGGGAGUCCCAGAUUAAGGGGUCCUCGGACAGCCGGAUUGUAUACUUUGGUCGGAUUGUUGGACUAUGAAGAUACAAGAUUGAAGACUUUGUCCCGUGUCCGUAUGGUACUCUCCUUUGUGUGGAAGGCAAGCUUGGCGAUUCGGAUAUGUAGAUAUUCUUCUCUAUAACUGACUUUGUGUAACCCUAGCCCCCUCCGGUGUCUAUAUAAACCGGAGGGUUUAGUCCGUAGGACAACAACAAUCAUAAUCAUAGUCUAGCUUCUAGGGUUUAGCCUCUAUGAUCUCGUGGUAGAUCAACUCUUGUAAUACUCAUACCAUCAAGAUCAAUCAAGCAAGAAGUAGGGUAUUACCUCCAUCGAGAGGGCCCGAACCUGGGUAAACAUCGUGUCCCCAGCCUCUUGUUACCAUAAGCCUUAGACGCACAGUUUGGGACCCCCUACCCGAGAUCCACCGGUUUUGACACCGAGGUUGGUGCUUUCAUUGAGAGUUCCACUAUGUCGCCAUGGUAAGGCUUGAUGGCUCGCCUUGUUGUUAAGGACAACAUCACCUUUGGAGGAACCCUGGCUGUAGGCCAGACUCUUCGGCUGGGCGGCUUCGUCAUGGCCGCCCGUUCGGCCUCCACGCCGACGAUGACUUCUCAGGUCAUCGAGAACAGACUCCACAUCAGCUCGGAAUUCACCGAGCAGAUGGAUCCAAUAGAGCUUUCCUCCCUGAACGAGCUCUUGGAUCGCAUCGCCGCCCUGGGAGUCGCUACAGACUAUGAUCGGAUCAGCAGUGGUGGAGGAGCAGUGCAGUGAUUCUUCCUCUAUUUUGAGGACGAACUAUGUCCGGAUUCCCAAGCUCUCCGAGCCGGAUACCCGUCUACGGGAGGACAUGGCCCAGGCUCUGAACUUAGAAUCGGGCAGCAGACCAGAAGAAUUGGGCAACAUCCUGGAGUCCGAGCUGCCAAGCUCGGGAACUCCUCUGCCCCUAGGUCUCAGAUCGGGUCAGGGUUUGGACUUAAAUCUACCCACCCACCCAGAUACAAGUGAUCUUUCCCACAUUAGACAAGAGCCCCAAGAGAUAGUACAUCACUUCUGGGCCAGAUUCCUCCUUGUAAUGAGCAAGGUCAAGGACUGUCGCGAGGAAGACGUAAUUUCACUCUUUUGCAAAAAUUGCACGGACAAGGGAAUUCUCAACGCCAUAAGUCACCAUGACAUAGCACACUUUACCGACUUGGCGGCCAUAGUACAGAAGUACUAUGCGAUGGAAAGCGCCUAGAAAACCCAAACUAAAUUCUGGGAUCCUCCGGCUCUCACUAAACCCCUCAUCCAAACUACAAGGGUGCGCUCUCGCAAGUCACCCAAUCCAAUUACAAAGAAGCCAAAGCCCUUCAUAGGGCGUGGAACCGUACUGGAGGGAUGGCUCAACGGGCCAUGCAAAAUUCACAGCACACCGGAUAUCGUACCAACACACAGCCUUAGAGCAUGUUGGGUACUCCGGCAGGUGGCCAAGAGCGGCGAGGAUCUCCUCAUUAACAAUGCCACAGAGCACCAUCCCACGGAGAAUAACAAUACAGUACUGACAGUCUUCGAGACUUUUGCCUCAAACAAUAGGCGUAAGCGAGCACUCCGCAGCCUCGCCGAAGUCUGCCACGUUGCAGCAAUAAAUCCAUGGAACGACACGGCUAUUACCUUCAAUGCCGGUGAUGAAUCUCAAUUCCGAAUAGUCGGAGCACCAGCUGCUUUGGUCCUUAGUCCAAUUGUGGACGGCUACCGGCUUACUAAAGUACUCAUGGACGGUGGCAGCGGAUUAAAGCUCAUUUAUGAGGAAACCCUCAACAAAAUGGAGAUUGACAAGAUCCGCAUCGAGCAAAGUAGCACGACCUUCAGAGGAAUCAUACCCAGUCGGGAGGCACGAUGUGCGGGAAAAAUCACACUGUAUGCGGUAUUCGGCACGCUGGAGAACUAUAGGUCCGAAGAAAUUACAUUCCAAGUGGCCCCGUUCAGUAGUGGAUACCACGCCCUUUUGGGGUGAGACGCAUUCACAAGCUUCCAAGCUAUACCCCAUUACGGGUACAUGAAUCUCAAGAUGCCUGGGCCCAAUGGAAUCAUCACUCUAGCUAGUGAUCCGGACAUAGCACUCCACGCCGAAAACAAAACCGCCGCACUAGCCCUGGAGGCAUUAUUCGAAGCUCUCGCGGCUGAAGAAUUAACUGCGCUGCGCUCCACAGUGGACAAGGAUGAUGUGAUACUUGACAAAUGACCCAAGUCCACCUCUUUUAAACCAGCACACGAAAUAAUCAAAUUCCAUAUCCACCCAACGGACCCCACAAAAACAACAUCAAUUGGGACACAGUUGAACCCCACAAUAGAUGCCGCACUACGAGAGUUCUUGUGCGAGAAUUGGGACAUCUUCACGUGGCAUCCUUCAAACAUGCCAGGUAUCCCACGCAGGCUGGCCGAGCAUAGCCUAAACAUACUAAAGGGAUACAAGCCGGUCAAGCAGACUCUUCGGCGCUUUUCAGAACCCAAGCGACAAGCCAUGGGAGAAGAGCUAGCCAAGCUACUCCAGGCCGGAUUCAUCAAAGAAAUAAAACAUCCAGACUGGCUGGCAAACCUGGUGAUGGUACCAAAGAAGGACAAAUCCUGGCGCCUAUGCGUCGAUUUCAAGGACCUCAAUAAGGCUUGCCCUAAGGAUCCCUUCCCCCUCCCCCGCAUCGAUCAAAUCAUCGACGCUACCGCAGGACACGACUCAUUGUGUUUCCUUGACGCAUAUUUAGGAUACCAUCAAAUAAAGAUGGCGGAAUCCGAUCAAGCCGCAACGACAUUCAUCACUCCAUACGACCCCUUCUAUUUUAACACCAUGCCUUUCAGGCUCGAAAACGCCGGCGCAACCUAUCAACGCAUGAUUCAGACAUGCCUGGAAACACAAAUCGGCAAAAUAGUGGAGGCAUAUGUAGACGACGUGGUCAUCAAAACCAUACACGUCGAAUCCUUAAUAGACGACUUGAGGCUUACGUUUGAAAAUCUCCGAACAUAUGACAUCAAGCUCAAUCCGGAAAAGUGCGUCUUCGGUGUACCCGCCGGAAAGCUCUUGGGCUUCAUCGUCUCCAAUACAGGAAUUGAAGCAAAUUUGGCUAAAAUCUGAGCUCUGUCACAGUUGGCUACCCCAACAGACCUCAAGCAAAUCCAGAAAUUAACGGGAUGCGUGGCUUCCCUAAACCGCUUUAUCUCCCGACUAGGAGAAAAGGCACUACCUCUCUAUCGCCUUCUUCGACGCACCGACCACUUCAAGUGGAUGGAUGCGGUUACGGCCGAACUGUAGGAAAUAAAAUCCCUCCUGGCCACCACCAAUCCAAUCCUAGCCGCCAAACAUCGGCGAACCAAUGCUGCUAUAUAUAGCUGCAACACACCAGGUUGUAAGCGCAAUGCUCGUCGUCGAAGGAGAGACGGACAGACACAAGUUCCCUCUUCAAAAGCCGAUAUACUAUGUAUCUAUUGUCCUCACUCCAUGCAAGUCAUGGUACCCACAUUAUCAAAAGAUAGCAUAUGCGGUCUUCAUGGCAUCCCGAAAAUUAUGACACUACUUUCAAGAGUGUUCAAUCAUGGUGGCCUCCGAAGUACCACUCAACAACAUAAUAAAUAACCGCGAUGCCAUGGGCCGAAUUGCUAAAUGGGCUAUCGAGUUCCUCUCGUUCGACAUAACAUACAAACCAUGGCAAGCCAUUAAGUCGCAAGUACUGGCUGACUUCGUCGCCGAAUGGACAGAAGCCGAACUCCCUAAAGAGUACGACGCGUACUCCAAUUGGAUUAUGCACUUCGAUGGCUGUAAGAUGCUGGCCGGUCUAGGGGCAGGCGUUGUCCUAACAUCCCCCACCGGAGAUACAGUCCAAUACGUACUCACAAAUACUAUACACAGAUUCCAACAAUGCAACCGAAUAUGAGUCUCUAUUGCAUGGUCUUCGGAUGGCAGUCUCCAUGGGCAUUCAACGCCUAGAUGUGCGUGGGGAUUUGAACCUCGUAAUAUCUCAAAUAAAUGGAGACUUCGACGCCAAGGACCCAAAAAUGGCGGCCUACCGCAAUGCCGUCCUUAAAAUGUCAGCUCGGUUCGAGGGGCUCGAAUUCCACCAUAUGGUCCGAGAAAACAAUCAAGCGGCGGAUAUCCUGGCCCGCAUCGGUGCUAAACGCGACCCCGUCCCACCUAACAUCUUCCUAGAAAGGUUGUUCAAGCCAUCCGUGGUAUGGGAUGGGGAGCCCGGCAAUAUCAGUCCGGAUCCGAACACAACCCCAGACCCCGAACACUCUGACACAAUCGGAGGCUCCGCCACCGAAAUAACACCGUUGGCCCACGUGAUUAUGGCUAUCAUCGCCCGUGGACAGAACCCUUCUUAGCCUACCUAAAUAGGCAAGAACUCCCCGAGGACCAAAAUGAGGCACGUUGUAUUGUGCGGCGCUCUAAAGCCUACAAGGUCCACGAGGGAGAGCUUUAUAAGAAAAGCACGAUUGGAGUGCUCCAAAGGUGCAUCUCCGAAGAGGAAGGACGACAGCUUUUGGCAGAAAUUCAUGCUGGACUCGAUGGCCACCAUGCCACAGCUCGGGCCCUUGUAAGCAAGGCCUUCCGUACAGGUUUCUACUGGUCGACAGCCCAAGCGGACGCACAGGACCUCAUCCAACAUUGCGUCGGUUGCCAGCUUUUUGCAAAUCAAAGCCAUAUGCCACCUACCGCUCUUCAAACAAUACUCAUAACUUGGCCCUUUGCGGUCUGGGGGCUCAAUAUGGUUGGAACCCUUAAAGGAGGAGCUUUAAGAAAAAAUACGUGUUGGUCAUGGUAGAUAAAUUCACCAAAUGGAUAGAGGCCAAGCCAGUUAAAACAGCCGAAUCCGGACCAGUGAUAGACUUUAUAUCCGGAGUCGUACACCGUUACGGUGUCCCCCACAGCAUCAUCACUGAUAAUGGCUCCAACUUUACAGCCGACGAGGUGAAAACUUGGUGCAACAAGAUGGGCAUUAAGCUAGAUUAUGCCUCUGUCUAUCACCCCCAAACAAAUAGUCAAGUCGAACGAGCAAAUGGUCUUAUUAUGAGCGGCAUCAAACCCAGACUACUGCGAUCCUUGAAAGAAUCAGACUCGCACUGGGUCGAGGAGCUCGACUCCAUACUAUGGGGGCUGCAGACCACGCCCAAUCGCACCACUGGAUACACACCAUCUUUAUGGUGUACGGCGCAGAGGCAGUACUACCCUGCGAUAUCAUUCAUGACUCACCUCGAGUGCGCAUGUACGAAGAGAGAGAAGCCGAGCUAGAUCGGCAGGACAGUUUAGAUGCCCUGGAGGAGGAGCGGGACGUCGCGAAGGCCCAUUCCGCAUUUUAUCAGCAGCAGGCUCGAAGGUAUCAAAGUAGAGAAGUACAGGCCAAAACCUAUAAUGUUCGCGAACUCGUUCUACGCCUACCGGAGAAGAAAAAAGACAAGCUCAAGCCCAAGUGGGAGGGUCCCUUCAUCAUUGAUAAAGUUCUCACCGGAGGAGCGUACCAUCUGUGUGAUGCAUCAGAUAAUCGACUCGAGCCGAACCCAUGGAACGCGACCAGACUCCGAAGAUUCUACGCCUAGUGCCGAACUCUGUGUUUGUCUCCUCACCUUCGUUUUCCUUUAUAUAUAUAUAUAUAUAUAUACACACACACACGGUCUAUUAUGCUAAUAUUAGCAGAAUAACUAUUCUGCACACCACUUCCGCACUGCACGCUGAACGCACGUGCACUGCAUCUUCUGGACGACGAGCACUGCAAUAGAGACUAGUGAACUUCUCGUCGGAAAAAACUUCAUGCGUUAUUUUUUCGGUACUGUUUUUGCUCUAAUUUUUUAACCGUUUAUUGGAAUGAGGCGUGUAAUAUACCAUUGAAAAGCUAUGGAUUAGGCACAACUUCGACAUGUUGAACACUUUUCAAGAUUCCACACGGUUUAAGAACAGUUUUGAAAAUGGUGCGGCGGAUGACGAGUGACAACGAGCGUUUUUCCGCGUUGUUUUCUAAACCGCUUGUCGUAAUUGAAGCAAAUGAUACGCCGUUGGAUAUAUAUCGUCGAGGCGCAUCUUUUUCAUAUAUAAAUCUUUCUCUAAUUCAUUACGGUUUAAGAGCAGUUUCAAAUUUACUAAAUCGCGGAACUCUGUUUUUCAAUUUUUUUGAAAUUUUCGGUACUGUUUUUGCUCCAGUUUUCUAACCGUUUGUCGGAACUAGACAUAUGAUAUGCCAUUGGAAAGCUACGGACAAGGCGCAACUUUGAUAUGUUGAAAUGGUUUUGAGAUUCCUUACAGUUUUUAGUUAUUUUUGAAAAUCGUGCGGCUGACUUCGAGAGGCAGCGGCUGUUUUUUCGUGAAUUUUUUACAAACGGCUGGUUAGAAUGAUUCAAAUCAUACGCUGUUGGAAAGAUAUCGACAAGACGCAACUUUUUCAUGUAGAACACUCUCUCUAGUUCCUUACGGUUUAAGAGCAGUUUUGAUUUUACCGAAAAGCGGACACUCUGUUCUUCGCGAGACCAAAAUCGUCGUAUGUACUGCAUCGGACAGAAGAACGCAUUGCUUCAGACAAAAUACCGCACUGCAUCAUAUGGGCAAGUGCACUGCAUGGUUUCUUUUUGUUUAAACGUAUUUUUUCUCGGACGAGGAAAGAAGAACGCACUGCUUCAGACGAAAUACCGCACUUCAUUAGAUGGGUAAGUGCACUACAUGAUUUCUUUUUGUUUAGACGUAUUUUUUAUCGGACGGGGAAAGAAGCACGCACUGCUUCAGACGAGUAUUUUUUUCUCGGACGGGGAAAGAAGAAUGCACUGCUUCAGACGAAAUACCGCACUUCAUUAGAUGGGCAAGUGCAAUGCAUGGUUUCUUUUUGUUUAGACAUAUUUUUUCUCGGACGGGGAAAGAAGAACACACUGCUUCAGACGAAAUACCGCACUUCAUUAGAUGGGCAAGUGCACUGCAUGGUUUUUUUAUGGGACGUAAUUUUUCCCAAACAAGGUGGAGUGCACUUCAUGUCGAGCGGUGGUGAACCGCAAUACUAUGAAAAGUGAACCUCGAGACUACUGUAAACGGGCUGUGACACUACCGAAAGUGAACCUCGUGAGUUUUUUCCAAACGCAAUAAUUUCUUUCGCGCGUAGACCGGGCGAGUGGACCGCAGGGAUUGAGCAAGUGAACCACAUUUAAUGAGAAGUGAGCUGCUUUGCAAGGUGUGUUUGUUUUUGGAUUACCAAGUGAACCACAAAGGAGUUUUAGUUUUUAUAGUGAACUGCAUGAAAGAACAAAGUGAGCUUAAAAGCAUACAUAUUCAUUCAUUAUUUUUUACACGGCCAUAGAAUCAACGAUGCAGUGCCCAACAGAACUGCACUAGGGAAAGACUUGCUUAUACAAAAUGACCAUCCAUUCUUACUACCUUUGUGUUUCCCGUAAACAACAAAUCAAAUUCAAAAUGAACAUCGAUGUUCUCUUCUCCUUCUUACUAAGUGCACUGCAAAUGAUUUCCUGAAAGAAUAAAAGAGUGAGAUGAAAAACAAAAAGUAAGCUGCUGCAAAACAAAACUAAACUAAACCGCAGGGACGUGACGAGUGGCCUGCAUCAAUUUUUCUUCCACACAACGACAAAGUGAGCUGCAUAGAAUAUUCAACCUUUUCCAAUUACAAUCUUCCAUUUUUUUUACAUUUGGCAACAAAGGGAACUACUGUGAGAGAGAAGAUCACUGCAGUGAUAAAAUGAUGCAUGUUGCAGAAAGGUCAUACAUAUCUUACCACAACCGUCGAUGGAUGAACUACAUGCCACACUACCGAUGGCGAAGGGGAGCUGCUGGUGCAAGAACCUCGCACGCAUAGAUGAUAAACUGGUGCAAGCAGCACGUACAACACCCACGUUGUGGUCGCUGGAGUUCAGAACCAUUGGAGAAUUGGGGACCCAAGCUAACCUCCCUACCAAAAAUAUGAAGAACAAAAAAAAUGUGUGGCUGAUGCAUCCACAAGUGAACAACACGGAGGCUGUUUCCGAGCUGCACAUGCGCCAUCUAUGAACCCCAGGACGUGCACAAUUAGCCGGCGAACUGCAAGCAAACGCUGGGGGAGCUGCACAUCAUGCUUGCCCGAGCUGCAUGCCAGCCAUGUUAAUGGACCUCGCCGCGUUCUGUAGGCUAGCGGAGCAGCUAGAUCUUGGCGGCGGUGAGGAAAUAGGGAGCGAGGGGGAGGACCGUGCAGUUGGGUAGGCCACAGCGAGGCGACGGGGGCGGAUCUGCACCGGCAUGCGCGCGGGGUGGAUGGGGGCGGCGCGCCCGGAUCCACGCCAGCAGCCGCACGGGGCACCUUGGGGCGGCGCGCCCGGAUCUCCGCCGGCGGUCGGGGGGUGGUUGUUGGAUGGUGGUGCGUCGCGGGGCGGUGCCGGGAGUUGAGCGGCGUUGUGGGGGCAGGUGGUGGUGUCCUAUCGGGGCUGUGGUAGGGGGUGGUGGAGGCACUCCAGAUCGAGGCCGCGUCCGCGUUGGCUGCAUGGCCAGCCAUGGAUCCGGAGAUAGCGGCUUGGCGAAGCCUGUGGAUGGCUGGAUCCACGAGCCCGUGGCUGACCAGAUCUGGUGAUGGCUCAUCGUGGGGAGGCGGGGCGGCGCCGACCGGAAGGAGGAGGAGGAGGGGCGGCCCCUACCGGGAGGAGGAGGAGGCGGGGGGCUGUGGGUUGGGGAAGGGAGGCGCGCCGGCCGGGAGUGAGAGAAGGCGGUGGGGUGGGGCGCCGCGGUGGUCGGGCCAUCCCCGUGGUCGCCGGCCGCCAGGCAGGUGGUGGGCGACGGCGGUGUGGGAGGCAGGUGGUGGUGUGGUGGGGUACCGUGGAGGGAGGUUGGUGGAGUAGUGGGGUUUGAGGGAGAGUGGUGGGCGGCCGUGGGAGGAGGGGUGGGUUUUUCUGUUGGUGGUGUGCAGAAUAAGGUUUGGGUGUGCAGAAUAAGGUCUUAAGGGGUGUUAUCAUAAUAGACCCACCCUAUAUAUAUAUAUAUAUAUAUCUUCUCUCCCUCUCCUUUUCAUAUAUGUAGCCUUAAAAGCUUCAAGUAUGCUUUGACCGCACAUUCCUGCCGUGCUAUGUGCGCUCAAUAUACCUGGGGGCUUCUUAUACAGAAGCUUCACAUAAUUAUCUUCCGGGCUUUAUGCCCACCACAUAUGCGUCAUUUCUCCAUAUGUGCCUUUUUUUCACCAUUAUAUGCAUCGAUAUGACUUAAGUUUUGGCCAAGCUGGGUUGCCUGGCUCUUGUGUUUGUGCCCUAUGUUCCCGUUAAUUCGGCUAGGGCAUAAGGGGAGCACCUCUGCGAUUGUUACUGCCGGGUCAGCCGGAUGUGUACCUCAGACUGGGUGAAGCCGAAAGCUAGCGUUCUUAAUGGAAUAUUCGGUCGGUGAACAAAAGAUGUCUUUUACUUAUUACAAAACAUGCCCCCAGAUGUUUAUAUCCUGCGUCAUUUUUCGCAGUUCAGACAUGCACAUUAAUGCAUGCACACCCAGGGAAAGGAACCCUUAACGGAACUAUUCUCCCUGGAAGAUGUUUCUUACUACCCAUGUAAUAUAACAUAGCUAGUUGGGUACUUGUCUAUUCAAGCACUUAUGACCCCUAUGCCUGGUUUCCACGUGUGCCCUGAUUUUUACAUAACUGAGCGGGUAUUUGGAUACACUCUAGACUGUCGGGUCCAGAGGUUGAAGCGAAAAGGUCGACCAAGACAAUGAUUUACAAUUCGGCUAGGGACUAAAUAUGUCCUUUGAAGUACAAAGUCACUUAGGCUGACUGAUUUCUUCUUCUAUACCACCCAACAGGCUGUCUAGCCUACAAUCCUAUUGGGAAUACUUUGCAGCUAAUGCUACCUGGUCAUAUACCAGACUAAUGGGGAUCUCUUUCCCAUCUGGUCCUAUAGGUCCGACCUCGGCCAUGUGGUUCGGGUCAGCCUUGGUGUAUCGCGUCUUCACCAUGGCCCAGGCUUCCCUUGCACCUUGUUGGCAGGCUAAUAUCUUCCAUAAUCGGAAGCAUUGCCGUGCUCCCUUGAGCAUCUCUACAAGCUCUCCCAUGCCUCCAGGCAGGGAUGCAGACGGCCACAAGGCCUGGGCAAUACGUUGCAUCACCUGCCAAAUUUGCUCAUGCAGCUAUGAGAGUUCUUGGAGAAGAUCGCCUGCAGAUCCGGGCAUCUCCUCUUUGGGACGACCUGUCAGCAUACCUACAGAUAUAAUUCUGUUAGCAUGUUUCUUCACCGAACUGUUUAAAGGUUCGUCCAAGCACUUAUUAAAAAUGCCGCGUCGAAGCCGCUUAUUCUCCUUCACGGAGUCAACAAGCUGGCCCCGGACAUCCUUUAAUUCAACGUCCAGCCGCGUCUUCACAUCCUAAAGAUCAUUCUUCUCCCAAAUAACUUUUGUAAGCACGCGCUCGCCAGCCUUUAGCUCUCGUUGAGCAUGAGGGUCAUCCUCCGAUACGAUCUCCGGAUUCCCUCCGAGAUUGUCUACAGAAUCUAUUGUUAGAUUUGCAUGCAUGCCGAAUACUAAAUGGUAUAUGUCAAUACAUUCUUUUUGAUCAAGACAAGUAUUACCAGACGAGGCCUUCUUGGACUCCUCCAUUUCGGCGACUGCGGCCCGUAGCUGAUCUUUGCACUCUUCAAGCUCUUUAGACAGCUGGGUAUUCUUCUCUGUAAGAACCUAUGCAUAUAAUUGAUCCUUAAAUCAGUUGUGCCAACUGUUUCAAGUUUAAGGGGCUACUAAUAUACAUACUUAUCAAAUCUUCUUACCUGUAUAUCCCUUACAUACUGGUCCAUAGCUCUGGCUAGGCCAUCCUGAGCAGCUCGGAUGUACGCAUCCCCUGAGUUGAAGGCAUUGAACGCCUCUUCAGAGAAAUUAGGGUCGCGUAGUGUGGCCCUUCGGUGCCUGUCAUACAUGGCGCUCUCCACUUCGGAGUUUCUAGCAGAUAAUCUAUCCACAUCCUCUGUAGGAGGACCAUCCGGCGUUGUCCCCGCGUUAAUCUCCGCCCUUGAGUCUGGCCUUGGAGUCCGGCUGGUGGAGGCGAGACCCGCAGGCUCUCCGGAUAUACUCUGGCGAGCGCUUUUUCUGCUGGGGGGGCGUGAACAUUGUUAUAUUUUAAGGACGAUAACUGCGUAGCAGGUUUUUAAUCAUACCUCUACGAUGGUGUCUCGGUCCUGACUGCCUUCCUUUUAAGCCGAACCAGCCUCGGUGCUCCUUGUUGAUGAGUCGCCGCGGGUUCGACGCGGCAUUCCGAUGACCUUCCCUAUAAAACGCAAUACAGGUGCGAUGGGUAAGGUGCAGAGAGGGUAUUCUUCUUGUAAAUUGGGACUCCGGUUUUACUUAUGUGUGAUGCAGGGAGUAGGCCAGGAUAAUCUACUAUGAUGGCCACCAGGGCACCAUCAGAACUUAUCUGGUAAAAUGUCCUGUCGACGAGCUCUACAAAUAUGUCCGGAUCUUCUUCAAGUCCGGGGUCGAGGGCUCUGUCAGGGUCCUCUGGCUGUGGAGACGGGUUGUGGACCUCCCUCAUAGCUUUUCGCAGUUCCUGCUAUGAAUGGGCAAGGUAAAUAUUUGUGAUGAUGAAUGUGGGAAAAGAAUGGAAUAAAAGGUAGCAACUCACCCAGCUCGGGGGGUUGUACAUGGAGAAUCCAUCCCAAGGCAUAAUGCAGAUGAACUCCUCUUCCUAUCCUUUGAACAAGUCGGACAAUAUUUUUGCCAGAGCGGCGGCGGAGUCCGGACCUUUACGGCCGCAGCGGGUGGCGUCGUCUUCUCCAUUGAAGUGACACAUGGGUUUGCCCCGAUACUAAAGUGGUUGUACCCCCUGCAUUAUGCAUAUUGACAUAACUUCAGUAGUUGUCAGUCCUGAUCUGGCCAGCGUUUUUAUCUUGUCCAUCAGGAAAAGGACCUCUCUAUUAUCUUCCUCCUAGGGGCUCUGGGGGCGCCAUCUAUGGCGUUUCUUCAAUGGGGCAUUGGUAAACUCAGGAAGGCCCAUCCAAAUAGGGUCCGGAAGGGGGACGUCCUCCAUAUAAAACCACUCCGAAGGCCAGUCUUCGGAUGUCUUCUUCAGAGUACCAGACAAGUAUCCGGUCUCGGUGAUGCGCCAUAUUUCGGCUCCGCCCACUUGAUAUAUUGACCCCUCAUGAGUAUGGGGUACGAGGCAGAAUAACCUCUUCCAUAGCUUGAAAUGAGCUUCACAGCCCAGAAACAACUCGCAGAAGGUGACGUAGCCGGUGAUAUGUAAAAUAGAGGCAUGGGUGAAGUUAUGCAGCUGGAGGCCAUAGAACUCUAGGAGCCCGCGGAGGAACGGAUGGAUUGGAAAUCCGAGUCCCCUCAGCAAAAAGGGGACAAGUGCUACGUCUUGAGCUUGCGUUGGUUUUCCUUGAAGAGGAAAGGGUGAUGCAGCAAUAGUAGCGUAAAUAUUUCCCUCAGUUUUUGAGAACCAAGGUAUCAAUCCAGUAGGAGGCUCCUAAAAAGUCCCAUGCACCUACACAAACAAACAAAGAACUCGCAACCAACGCAAUAAAGGGGUUGUCAAUCCCUUCACGGCCACUUGCGAAAGUGAGAUCUGAUAGAGAUAGUAUGAUAAGAUAAAUAUAUUUUUGGUAUUUUAUAAUAUAGAUGCAAAAAAUAAAGAUGCAAAUAAAAGUAGAUUGGAAGCAAAUAUGAUAAGAGAUAGACCCGGGGGCCAUAGGUCUCACUAGAGGCUUCUCUCGAGAUAGCAUAAGUAUUACGGUGGGUGAACAAAUUACUGUCGAGCAAUUGAUAGAAAAGCGAAUAACUAUGACAUUAUCUAGGCAUGAUCAUGUAUAUAGGCAUCACGUCCGCAACAAGUAGACCGACUCCUGCCUGCAUCUACUACUAUUACUCCACACAUCGACCGACUCCUGGCUGCAUCUAGAGUAUUAAGUUCACAAAGAACAGAGUAACGCAUUAAGCAAGAUGACAUGAUGUAUAGGGAUAAACUCAAGCAUUAUGAUAUAAACCCCAUAUUUUUAUCCUCGAUGGCGACAAUACAAUACGUGCCUUGCAACCCUUUCUGUCACUGGUAAGGACACCGCAAGAUUGAACCCAAAGCUGAGCACUUCUCCCAUGGCAACAAAGAUCAAUCUAGUAGGCCAAACCAACCUGAUAAUUCGAAGAGACUUGCAAAGAUAACUCAAUCAUACAUAAAAGAAUUCAGAGAAGAUUCAACUAUUAUUCAUAGAUAAACUUCAUCAUAAACCCACAAUUCAUCGGAUCUCGACAAACACACCGCAAAAAGAGAUUACAUCGAAUAUAUCUCCACAAGAGAGGGGGAUAACAUUGUAUUGAGAUCCAAAAAGAGAGAAGAAUCCAUCUAGCUAAUAACUAUGGACCCGAAGGUCUGUGGUAAACUACUCACAACUCAUCGGAAGGGCUAUGGUGUUGAUGUAGAAGCCCUCCAUGGUCGAUUCCCCCUCCGACAGAGCGCCGACGAAGGCUCCAGGAUGAGAUCUCGCGGAUAUAGAAGGUUACGACGGUGGAAAUUGUGUUUCGGGUGCUUCCUGGAUGUUUUCGGGGUACGUAAGCUUAUAUAGGAGGAAGAAGUACGUCGGUGGCCGCCCGAGGGGCCCACGAGACAAGGGGCGCGCCCUAUAGGGGGGGCACCCUCAUAUCUCGUGGCCGCCUCGGCUGCUUCUUGACUUGCACUCCAAGUCCUCUGGAUCAGGUUCGUUCCAAAAAUCACCCCUCCGAAGGUUUCAUUCCAUUUGGACUCCGUUUGAUAUUCCUUUUCUUCGAAAUACUGAAAUAGGCAAAAAAAACAGCAAUACGGGCUGGUCCUCCGGUUAGUAGGUUAGUCCCAAAAAUGAUAUAAAUGUGUAAAAUAAAGUCCAUAAACAUUCAAAAGGGGUAAUAUAAUAGCAUGGAACAAUCAAAAAUUAUAGAUACGUUGGAGACGUAUCAAGCAUCCCCAAGCUUAAUUCUUGCUCAUCCUCGAGUAGGUAAAUGAUAAAAAAGAAAUUUUUGAUGUGGAAUGCUACCUAGCAUAAUUCUCAAUGUAAUUUUCUUUAUUGUGGCAUGAAUGUUCAGAUCCAAAUGAUUCAAAAUAAAAGUUCAUAUUGAUGAAACAAAUAGUAACACUUCAAGCAUACUAAUCAAGGUAAUCAUGUCUUCUCAAAAUAACAUGGCAAAAGAAAGUUCAUCCCUACAAAAUCAUAUAGUUAGGCUAUGCUUCAUUUUCGUCACACAAAGAUGUUCCCAACUUCUAUACCCCGAUGACAAGCCAAACAAUUGUUUCAUACUUAAAUAAUCUCAAACUUUUUCAACCUUCACACAAUACAUGAGCGUGAGCAUGGAUAUAGCACUAUGGGUGGAAUAGAAUAUGAUGAUGGGGAUUGUGUGGAGAAGACAAAAAAGGAGAAAUUCUCACAUUGACGAGGAUAAUCAACGGGCUAUGGAGAUACCCAUCAAUUGAUGUCAAUAUGAGGAGUAGGGAUUUCCAUGCAAUGGAUGCACUAGAGCUAUAAAUGAAUGCUCAACAAAAGAAAACUAGUGGGUGUGCAUCCAACUUGCUUGCUCACGAGGACCUAGGGCAUUUGAGGAAGCCCAUCGUAGGAAUAUACAAGCCAAGUGCUAUAAUGAAAAAUUCCCACUAGUAUGAAAAAGGUAACCUAUGAGACUCACUAUAUGAAAAACAUGGUGCUACUUUGAAGCACAAUAUAUGAGACUCACUACAUGAAGAACAAGGUGCUACUUCGAAGCACAAGUGUGGAAAAAGAGAUAGUAACAUUGCCCUUUUUAUUUUUUUAUUUUUUUUAUUUUUCUUUUUUUCUUUUUCUUUUUUUGUGGGCCUUUCUUUUUUUUGUUUUGGCCUUUCUUCUUCUUUUCUUUUUUUCUUUUUGGGCAAUGCUCUAAUAAUGAUGAUCAUCACACUUUCAUUGAUUACAACAUAUGAAUUACAACUCGAAACUAGAACAAGAUAUGACUCUAUAUGAAUGCCUCCGGCGGUGUACCGGGAUGGUGUAAUGAAUCAAGAGUGACAUGUAUGAAAAAUAAUGCAUGGUGGCUUUGCCACAAAUACGAUGUCAACUACAUGAUCAUGCAGUGGCAAUAUGACAAAAGUAAAGUAUGUCAUGAUGAUGAUGAACGGAACGGUGGAAAGUUGCAUGGCAAUAUAUCUCGGAAUGGCUAUGGAAAUGCCAUAAUAGGUAGGUAUGGUGGCUGUUUUGAGGAAGAUAUAAGGAGGUUUAUGUGUGAUAGAGCGUAUCGUAUCACGGGGUUUGGAUGCACCGGCGAAGUUUGCACCAACUCUCAAGGUGAGAAAGGGCAACGCACGGUACCGAAGAUGCUAGCAAUGGUGGAAAGGUAAAAGUGCGUAUAAUCCAUGGACUCAACAUUAGUCAAAAGAACUCAUAUACUUAUUGCAAAAGUUUAUAAGUCAUCAAAAAUCAAGCACUACGCGCAUGCUCCUAGGGGGAUAGAUUGGUAGGAAAAGACCAUCGCUCGUCCCCGACCGCCACUCAUAAGGAUGCACAAGCCAGGUACACUUCAUGUUUCAAAUUUGUUACACAACUUUAACCAUACGUGCAUGCUACGAGACUUGCUAACUUCAACACAAGCAUUCUUUAAAUUCAUAAUCACCCAACUAGCAUGACUUUAAUAUCACUACCUCCAUAUCUCAAAACAAUUAUCAAGUAUCAAAUUGAUCAUAGCAUCCAAUUCACUUCCUAUGAUAGUUUUUAUUAUACCCAACUUGGAUGCCUACCAUUCUAGGACCAAUUUUGUAACCAUAGCAAAUACCAUGCUGUUCUAAAAGACUCUCAAAAUAAUAUAAGUGAAGCACGAGAGACUAGCAAUUUCUACAAAAUCAAGCCACCUGCCAUGCUCUAAAAGAUAUAAGUGAAGCACUAGAGCAAAAACUAUCUAGCUCAAAAGAUAUAAGUGAAGCACAUAGAGUAUUCUAAUAAAUUCAAUCAAGUGGGCUUCUCCCAAAAGGUGUGUACAGCAAGUAUGAUUGUGGUAAACUAAAAAUCAAAUACUAAUAUCAUACACGACGCUCCAAGCAAAACACAUAUCAUGUGGCGAAUAAAAAUAUAGCUCCAAGUAAAGUUACCAAUGAACGAAGACAAAAGAGGGGAUGCCUUCCGGGGGCAUCCCCAAGCUUAGGCUUUUGGCUAUUCUUGAAUAUCUUGGGGUGCCAUGGGCAUCCCCAAGCUUAGGCUUUUGCCACUCCUUAUUCCAUAGUCCAUCAAAUCUUUACCCAAAACUUGAAAACUUCACAACACAAAACUCAACAGGAAAUCUCAUAAGCUCCGUUAGUGAAAGAAAACAAAACCACCACAUCAGGUACUGUAAUGAACUCAUUCUUUAUUUAUUUUGGUGUUAAACCUACUGUAUUCCAAGUUCUCAAUGGUUCAUACCACUUAAUACUAGCCAUAGAUGCAUGAAAAUAAGCAAACAACACACGAAAAACAGAAUCUGUCAAAAACAGAACAGUCUGUAGAAAUCUGUAACUAACGCAAACUUCUGGAAAUUUAAAAAUCCUAAAAAAAAUAGGAAGUCCUGGUAAAUUUGUCUAUUGAUCAGAAGCAAAAAGAAUCAACACAAAAUCACGUUUCUGAGAUUUAACAAAACUAAUUUCAUGCGCGCAAAGUUUCUGUUUUUCAGCAGAAUCAAAUUAACUAUCAACAUAGGUUAUCCUAUAGGUUCUACUUGGCACAAACACUAAUUAAAACAUAAAAACACAUCUAAACAGAAGGUAUAUGCAAAAUUUAUUACUAAAUAGAAACAAAAACAAAAAACACAAAAUAAAAUUGGGUUGCCUCCCAACUAGCGCUAUCGUUUAGCGCCCAUAGCUAGGCAUAAAAGCGAAGAUAGAUCUAAGUAGUGACAUCUUUGGCACUCAAUUCAUAAGUAGAUCACAUGAUAGAUUCAUAAGGUAAUUUGACUUUCUUUCUUGGAAAGUGCUCCAUGCCAUUCCUUAAUGGAAAUUGGAAUCUAAUAUUCCCUUCCUUCAUAUCAAUAAUCGCGCCAAUCGUUCUAAGAAAGGUCUACCAAGAAUAAUAGGGCAAGAAAGAUUGCAAUCUAUAUCAAGAACGAUAAAAUCUACGGGCACCAAAUUUCUAUUUGCAACAAUGAGAACAUCAUUGAUCCUUCGCAUUGGCUUUUUAAUGGUGGAAUCCGCAAGGUGCAAAUUUAAAGAGCAAUCAUCAAGAUCAUGGAAACCUAGAAUGUCACAUAAAGUUUUCGGAAUUGUGGAAACACUAGCACCCAAAUCACAUAAAGCAAAACACUCAUGAUCUUUAAUUUUAAUCUUUAUAGUAGGUUCCCACUCAUCAUUAAGUUUUCUAGGUAUAAAAACUUCCAAAUUAAGUUUUUCAUCAUAAGAUUGCAUCAAGGCAUCAACAAUAUGUUUGGUAAAAGCUUUAUUUUGACUAUAAGCAUGAGGAGAAUUAACAACGGAUUGCAACAAGGAAAUACAACCUUCUAAAGGACAAUUAUCAUAAUCAAAUUCCUUGAAAUCCGAGAUAGUGGGUUCAAUGCUAUUUAAAGUCAUGACCUCUCCAAUCCCACUUUUACCAAAUUUAGCAUCAAGAUCUAAAAACUCCGAAUUAUUGGGACGGCUUCUAACUAAAGUUGACUCAUCUCCAGUCCCAUUAUUAUUAAGAUUCAUAUUGCAGAACAAAGAUCUAAUAGGAGACACAUCAAUAACUUUAAGAUCUUCAUCAUUAUUUUCAUCUAACUUUUCUGGUUUGGCAGCCAUCUUAUUGACUAAGGUAGCUUGCUUAUCAGAAAUUUGGGCUAUAGCAUUUUCGAGCCGGGUAAUUUGAGAGUUCACACCAUAAAAUUCUUUAGACAUAUCAUCAAGCUCUUUGUUCAUAAACUCCAAAAAACCUUUUUAUUCCUUAAGCUCUUUUCUGAAGAAAUUAUUAUGCUCAAAUUGCAAAGUCAUAAAACUUCUAAUGUUUGAAUCAAUCUCUUCCAACCUUCUAAGAAGGAGGUCGGUGUUCUUAGGAAAAGCCAUAAAGGCAACAAGUACGCAAAAAGAUAAGCGAGAAAGAGGGGAGAAGAUUGGGAAAGAGAGGUCGAAAUAAAACGGCAAGGGUGAAGUGGGGGAGAGGAAAACGGGAGGCAAAUGGCAAAUAAUGUAAAUGCGAGGGAGAUGAGUUUGUGAUGGGUACUUGGUAUGUCUUGACUUGAGCAAAGACCUCCCCGACAAGGCCCCAGAAAUCCUUCUUGCUACGUCUUGAGCUUGCAUUGGUUUUCCUUGAAGAAGAAAGGGUGAUGCAGCAAUAGUAGCGUAAGUAUUUCCCUCAGUUUUUGAGAACCAAGGUAUCAAUCUAGUAGGAGGAUCCUCAAAAGUCCCACGCACCUACACAAACAAACAAAGAACUCACAACCAACGCAAUAAAGGGGUUGUCAAUCCCUUCACGGCCACUUGCGAAAGUGAGAUCUGAUAGAGAUAGUAUGAUAAGAUAAAUAUAGUUUUGGUAUUUUAUAAUAUAGAUGCAAAAAGUAAAGAUGCAAAUAAAAGUAGAUUGGAAGAAAAUAUGAUAAGAGAUAGACCCGGGGGCCAAAGGUUUCACUAGAGGCUUCUCUCGAGAUAGCAUAAGUAUUACGGUGGGUGAACAAAUUACUGUCGAGCAAUUGAUAGAAAAGCGAAUAACUAUGAGAUUAUCUAGGCAUGAUCAUGUAUAUAGGCAUCACGUCCGCAACAAGUAGAUUGACUCCUGCCUGCAUCUACUACUAUUACUCCACACAUCGACCCACUCCUGCCUGCAUCUAGAGUAUGAAGUUCACAAAGAACAAAGUAACACAUUAAGCAAGAUGACAUGAUGUAGAGGGAUAAACUCAAGAAAUAUGAUAUAAACCCCAUCUUUUUAUCCUCGAUGGCAACAAUACAAUACGUGCCUUGCAACCUUUCUGUCACUGGGUAAGGACACCGCAAGAUUGAAUCCAAAGCUAAGCACUUCUCCCAUGGCAAGAAAGAUCAAUCUAGUAGGCCAAACCAAACUGAUAAUUCGAAGAGACUUGCAAAGAUAACUCAACCAUACAUAAAAGAAUUUAGAGAAGAUUCAAAUAUUAUUCAUAGAAAAACUUGAUCAUAAAUCCACAAUUCAUCAGAUCUUGACAAACACACCGCAAAAAGAGAUUACAUCGAAUAGAUCUCCACAAGAGAGGGGGAGAACAUUGUAUUGAGAUCCAAAAAGAGAGAAGAAGCCAUCUAGCUAAUAACUAUGGACCCAAAGGUCUGUGGUAAACUACUCACAACUCAUCGGAAGGGCUAUGGUGUUGAUGUAGAAGCCCUCCAUGGUCGAUUCCCCCUCCGGCAGAGCGCCGGCGAAGGCUCCAAGAUGAGAUCUCGUGGAUACAGAAGGUUAUGGUGGUGGAAAUUAUGUUUCGGGUGCUCCCUGGAUGUUUUUGGGGUGCGUAGGCUUAUAUAGGAGGAAGAAGUACGUCGGUGGCCGCCCAAGGGGCCCACGAGACAGGGGGCACACCCUAUAGGGGGGCGGCUCAUCCUCCUAUCUCGUGGCCGCCUCGACUACUUCUUGACUUGCACUCCAAGUCCUCUGGAUCACGUUCGUUCGAAAAAUCACGCCUCUGAAGGUUUCAUUCCGUUUGGACUCCGUUUGAUAUUCCUUUUCUUCGAAAUACUGAAAUAGGCAAAAAGACAGCAAUACGGGCUGGGCCUCCUGUUAGUAGGUUAGUCCCAAAAAUGAUAUAAAUGUGUAAAAUAAAGCCCAUAAACAUCCAACAGGGGUAAUAUACCAGCAUGGAACAAUCAAAAAUUAUAGAUACGUUGGAGACUUAUCAACAAGGCAUACCCGCUCCCCCUUGGAUGGGUUCGGAAAACUCUCCGUUGCUCCCCUCCAUUAUAGGUGGCUAGUCCGGCUCGAACGGGGACCAUGUAUGCGGGCGGGAGAAACCCGUGGGUCUGCAACUCUACCAAUCGGCUAUGGGGAACAGAACACUUCUCCCAGUCGCGUGGCUUAGUGCUACGGGUGCGAGAGGAGGAGUUGCGACGGUCGACCAUGAUGGAAUGGUUUCUUCCGGGCGCGCUCUGGUGGAUGCUCGUUAGGGAAGGAUGGUGUGAUUUGGAUAUGAGGAUCCCCAUCUCUUUAAAUAGGCGGUUUACUUACAUGGUCAGGGUGGCAAAUGUAAAAAUGCCCUGACUUCUCGCAUUUCGCUCGACACGUGGAGAUGGCCAUUAUUGCAUCACAGAAGCCGAGGAGUGCAACAUUGAUGGGAAGCCGGACACUGCUCGUUACAACAAGUACUCUAGAGAAUUUGGAGAAGAACCUGCCUUGCAAUGUUGAAGACAAUCUGUGCGCCGGACUCAUCGUCAUUGAAGCCUGGUUCAGGGGCUAUUUAGGGAGUCCAGGAUUAAGGGGUCCUCGGACAGCCGGACUAUAUACUUUGGUCGCACUAUUGGACUAUGAAGAUACAAGAUUAAAGACUUCAUCUCAUGUACGGAUGGGACUCUCCUUUGCGUGGAAGGCAACACUACAAAAAAAUACACUUCCGUGAUGAUACGUGUUUGUCACAGUAGGUCGCGUUUUUUGUCAUGCAUGUACAUCCAUGACAAAUUUAUGACAGAAUCAAGAUAGUCAUACCUGUGCUGUCAUAGAAGUGUUCCAUGACAUUACUAAAAUUAUCAUCACGGAAGUGUCCACUUCCAUGACGAUAAAUCGUGCGUCACAGAAGUGCUUUCAUCAAGGGUGACCAACACGUGGCAUCCACCGUAACAGAACACCGUUAAGCUAUGGGUCGGGUUUUGGAUCCGAUAACCCGUUAACAACCCCGACCAAUGGGGAUUUUCCACGUGUAAAAUCAUCAUUGGCUGGAGGAAACACGUGUCGGCUCAUCGUUCAGACAGAUGUCAUCCGCUCAUUGGACCGAAGGCGCCUAUGAUACGGCGACAUGUGGCACGGCCCAGAGGCCCAUUCCUGUGAAAAGGCCGGCCCAUUUAACUUGGUCAAAAGGUGGCGGGCCGGCCCAUGGAAAGCCUGUUAACGGCCUGUUCGCAUAUAGCCCAUUUACAGCCCGCUAACCCAGGGCCCGUUAUGCCCUAUCCGAAUUAGGCCCAGUAGCGUCAUCUGGGCCGUCCAAUAUUAUUCAGCCCGUUUUAACUUCCGGCCCAUGUGUGGCCCAUGACUUCUUUUGGCCCAUAUGAGGACCUUUGGAACUCUUGGCCCAUUAACGGCCCAUGGUGAAACUCGCCCGUAAUGAACAGUGUAUCACUUUAUACCCAUUAACGGCCCGUUAUUCCAUUGGGUCAUUUCCAUCCAAGUUAUCUUUCGGCCUUCUCAGGGCCCAUUGAUUCUUGGGCUCACUUGCAACAUUCGGUUACAUACGACCCGUUACUGUCAUUUUCUGCUUGUGGGCCAAAUUCAGCCCAUCGUUACAGUCGGCCCGUUUGCGGGCCGUUAAUAAGUUGGGCCAUUUUCAUGUAAAAAACCGUUGGGCUGUUUUCAUAGAGUUAUCAAAUACGGCCUAUUAACGGCCCGUUAUAGUCCAUGAAUAGUAUGGCCCAUGAUCGGCGAAAUGAUGAUACACCCGGUAGAAGGCCCAUGGAUCCUACGGCUCGUAUGAGGCCCAUGGAUAGUACGACCCGUAGAAGGCCCAUGGAUCGUACGGCCCGUAGAAGGCCCAUGGACCCUACGGCCCGUAGAAGGCCCAUUGAUCCCUAAGGCCCAUAUAGAAGGUCGAUGGAUCCUACUGCCCGUAUAGAAGGCCAAUGGUCCUAUGGCCGAAUGAAGGCCCAUGGAUCAUACGGCAUGCAGGAGGCCCAUGGUUACAACAGUCCGUGUGUUGCCAUGAUUAUUUUGGCCUAGUUACCAAAAUUAGGCUAUUGUGGCCACUAGAAAAACACAGAAAAAGAACUGUAGUGACUACAAGCAAACAACUAAACAAGACAAUAAGGAAAUAAAUAAGCAAGCAAUUAAGGCUAGCCUAUUACCGCUAUUACACAUAUUACAUCCACUGGGCAUCAAAGUUCGCCACCAGUGCAAAUAUAGGGAACAAAGCAGCAUAUUACAUACACUGGCCGUCAAAAUUGGCCUCUAGUGCAAAUAAACGCGGCAGCAAAACAAGAGCAUAACUGAAACAACUUCAGAAGAGCUCAAGAAACGUUAUCCUCAGUAUCCACCAUGCUGGCAAUAAGCUUAGCAAGCUGAUUAGCUUUGUCCUGUUUGGCGCUAGAAUCCUCCAACGCUUGCUGUUGCACCAGAAAGUAUGCAUCUGAAUGCUCUAGGGACUUCCGCAGUCCUUCCGCUUCUUGUUGCAGCACAGCUGAUCGAUGUCUUUCAUCUUGUAGUUGAGACUCAAGAAACCGAACUGAUUCAGACAGUGAGUUUGAAUAGCUUGUGCAAGCGGUAGUGGCCAGUAACUCGAACACUAAACCAAGACAGGACUUUGGGGUUGUCUCGCUGUCUUCAAGAUAGUCUUCCUUAGCUGUUUUAUCAGCUUUGUUGGAGACCAACAAGGAUGUGUCACUAUCCUGAACCUUAUCUGUAUUACUUCCUUUACCAUUGCUUAAUAAGGCACUCUUCCCCAAUAUUCUGUUAGCAUUCUAAAAGAAGAAACAAGCAGACACAUAACAAGUUUAGCAUGUACUAGUAUAUGAAACUCAUUUCGGUGAACCAGUUCAUUAGUACGGCUGACAGGAUUAAACUACCAAGUCUUCUAUUGCCAAGUACUAGUACAUAAUAAAAGCAUCAAACAAACAUAUAUCUAUGUCCUAUGGUCACUGCAUUGUCUUGCCAAAUCAAAAUAGAGACACGGUUCAAAUCAUAUCAGUUCAAGACAAAGCAGCAGUGAAAGAAUACAAAGCGUGGGAAACUACACGGCACAACAAGAUUUCAGAUGGGUACCACGGGUCUACAUGUACAACAACACUAUUGGCUCUGUUGUGAUGCUAGUAAUGUGCAUGAUAUGAAAGUCAACUGUAUACACAAUUGAAAUUGAAAUCAAAAGAGCUAUUGAUAAGAGCAAACCUGUUAAAGAAACAUGCGUAAACAUACCUGCUGUGCCAUUGGAGUUUUGAUUGGAUCCUUCAAUUUAAAAAUAAGUUUGUAUCGGUAAACACAGUGAUACAAGAGCAAAGCAAUCAUAGUUAAAAAAGGCGCGCCUAAGCGAGCGCUUAAGCGUGCCUAGGCUCUAGGCGUUGGCAAAACGCAUUGCACAUAACUACGCUUAAUCUAUGCAUAACUGCGCAUAAGCAUGCACUUUGGUCAGUAAAGUGCAAGGUGGUGGCAAAACGCACAAUUAACGCCUAGCACUUUUUUGAACUAUGAUAGCAAUGGAAUCUUAAAUUAGAACAGUUGUUCUUCAGGUUUAGGCACUUGUUCUACAUGAACAGAGUACAGUAAGACGCAAGAAUAUAAUACUUCAAAUAGAAAAUGAGCUCAUAGACCUUGCCACAUUCUUGGUUCGGGACCAGUACAGAACAAGGCGUUCCCAGUCAUCGUCCAGUAAAUGUGUCUUAGGAGAACGUAAGGGAAUUUGAUGAGUUUCUUUGCCGGUGAAGUACGUUUUCUUCAGGUAAUUCCGAUACUGCCACCAAGCAUUCUUGAAGAUAGCAGAGGUAUUAGCACAGGUUACCUCAUCCUGAGUAUCCAAAUCGGUCCUUCUCUAUAGAGAAAAAUGGGAAAAUUUGUUGUAUUAUAACCAUCAUGGAGGUAGGAUGUAUGGGACGAAGCAAAGUAAUUGCCAUGAAUAACAUUACUUACACAUAACUCCUGGACAAACACCUGUAACUGGCAUUUUCCUUCAUGUUUAGUAUAAUAUUUCCAAGAUGGGAAGAUACGCACAUACGAUUUAACAACAUCAAAUGCGAUAGAUGCUAAACUAUGACUGGCUGGUUGUGCUUCCUCCACGGGAAUAGGCGUACUAACUGGUGGAGUUGGGGUUCACCGUGAUAGUACUGGCCCUUUGGGCACUGGAGCUGCCUUACUAACUACUCUUGUUUGGGAGCUCUGUGGUGGAGAUGGUGCUGUGUCAACAGGAACUGGGUUACUAUCGGUUGGGGUUGGGGUUAGAUUGGGUGAAGCUGGUUCUCUGUCCAUCACAGUAGGGGUACAAUCUGCGAGAGUUUGGGUUAUGUGUGGUAGGGCUGGUUCUUGUGCAUGUACAUCCGGGGUGCUAUCUCCACCAAGAGGUAGCACUGUUUUAUUUGAAGACCGUGUUUUUAUUCCGCUAGAUACUGGCAUCACCCGCUCCAAUUCAAAUGGCUGAUAAACAGGAAACAUAGUUGAAUGUACAGACAUUGUAUGAGAGACAGAUGCAAUAGAUAAUGUGGAAAAAAGAGGGCAUGAAAUAGUUGACAUGUAUAUUGUUUAACUAAAACGGAUAGCAUGACAUAAUUUCACAUAUAUGAUGUCUAUCUAAACUGGAUAGCAUAGCAUAACAUAAUUCAAAGAUAUGAUGAAUAACUAAACAGGAUCGCAUGACAUAAUUCACCUACAUGUUAUCUAAGUAAUCAGGAUCACAUCAUUUAAUUCACAUAUGUGAUUUAUAUGCUAAAUAGAGGGCAUUCGAUAUGAUGUCUGAAUUAAGAACAUGGUGUUGAAUAUUGUGUAUAUGAUGUCUAAACUAUGCAAUGCAAGACACCGUAUGCAUAAUAUGAGUAGUAUAACCGUGCCAAGUUAAAGCAUACACCUCAGUAGGGGAAUAGGACUGGUCAUCUAUCUCUGAAUCCAUCUCUGAGGAGCUAUCGGGACCCAACAAGAGAUCUUCUUCGACAGGUAGCACUAUCUGCUCUGAAGGCCUUGUUUUCACUCCAGAUUUUUCCAUCUCCCACCCAAAUGGCUGAUUCACAGGAAGAAUAGUUUAAUGUACAAACAUUGUCAACAAAUGGAAAUGUAAUGAAUAAAAGGAUGGGCAAGAUAUCAUUCAAAUAUAUGAUGCCUGGUUAAACAGGAUGGCAUUGCACAUUUCACAUAUAUUAUGGCUGGCUAAAAGACAUGAGACUGCAUAAUUCCCAUAUAUGAUAUAGAAACUAAACAUGUGGCAUUACAGAACAUGUCUAAACUAAGCAGAUGACAUAUAUGAUGUCAAAAGUAGGCACUACAAGGCAACAUAUGCAUGAUAUGACUAACAUCAUCAUGCCAAGGUAGAGCAAACACCUUGGGGGGUAAAUAGGAGUGGUCAGCGGCGUUUGAAUCCGCCUCAGAACAGAUAUCUUCCUCUGGAUUACAAUCUGGAGAGGGGUGGGGAGGGUUUGCCAUUGAACCCACCAUGGAGCGAUGUCUGCAUGACAUUGUAUUGCCGCGCAAAACACUUCUCUUUUUCUCUACAUGUUCAGCAUGACUGUGUACAAUAUCUGACAUGCAUACGAAAAAAUAUGGUGAGAUUAUGUAAGGAGAGCAUGCAGAAAUUUAGAGUGAUGGUAACAACCAGUAGAUGGAUCCAAAAAUAAUGAUAGCAGGCUGAUGAUUGCUUUAAAUUAGUAAAAAGAUAGAUGAUGAUUGCUUUACUAUUUGUUUCCCACCCAAGAUGAACAACAUAGGCAUACCGUAGGUGAACCAGAUAUUAGACAGACAUACUAUUCAUUGCUGCCUCGAUAUGUGCCCCACAACUAAUUUAGAACUCAAGUUUGAACAUUAAUUUGGACCUGAGUUGGGAGUCCAAGAGCUGAAGUGGACGAUAAAGUAGCAGGUAAGUUUAAGCAAUGCAUAACAUAAGCAGAAACAAAAGAGUGCGACCUCUCUUGUGGACUCGUGUACUCCUCAGGUUCAUCUGCUGAGUCGAUGAUGGUGACGCCGUUGGGAUGGGUGCCGGCGGCAGGGAAGGAGAUCUGAGGCGGCGAAAGACGGUCAGGAGUUGUGAUGUCUGGUUUGGUGGAUGCUUCUGUCGAUGGAGCAGCUCAGGUGAGGUGGACGACGUCGCGGCAGGAGCAAGACAAACCACACAAAGUUCCCUUCGACACGUACCUGUAACUGAAGUAAUUCUGUAAGCGCUCAAUUAGCUUGCAUGAUUCUUAAAACGCAGGGAUAGUAGAAACACCGAAAUAGGAUAGGAAAAUGCACACGGUAAACAGAGCAUUUGUAAACACAGGAUUUCUGUCAACUUGGGUGUUUGGUUUACAGGAAUUGGAAGAGCAGAGGAAUGCAAAGAAACAUGGCCAAAAUAAAGAGAAACCAUAUGAAAGCGUGUACAGUUAGAAUGUUAUUCUGGCACUAAUGCACUUGGUCUUGUUUUCAUGCAUAGGAUUUUGAAAAGUAGGUCCAGGUGGAUGUUUUGCUUCAUUCCUUUCAACAAAAUGCAUGAAUAAUUGAAUAGUAGAGUGCCAUUGGAAAAUUCCCUAUUGCUAUGUUUUUCCGUUAAACCAAAAUAGCCCUAAUGGAUCGACGUGAAUGUAUAGUAAUAAGUGAUGCAACAAGUGUACAACCUCUUUGCCGUAGCCAUGUCGACCUCAGCAUCAUUGGGUUGGUCGCUGAAGUAGUUGAGGCAGAGGUGGCUGUCAGAGGUGUGGAGGAAGAUCUGAGGAAUCUGUAGACGGCGUCCAGGGCACUGCUCUGUUGUGAUGGAUCGUUCUGUCGUUGGAGCAGCUCCGGUGAGCCGUAAGACGUCAAGGCUGAAGUAGCACAAGACAGACAUCGUCAAUCUCAAGUGGGAUUCUAAUAGCAUCUCCAAUAGAUGAUGUAAAAUGGAUGUAAAAUUAACAUCACCAAAAACCACCUGACUACAACAGAUGAGGUAAAAAAUGUUGACUCUGAACUUAACUAUCAAAACUGAAAUUUACUGUGGAAUCUGAAUGCUACUGUCGAAACUGAACGCAAUGGUAGCAGAGAGGCACUUGACAUGUAGUUUAGGGGGGGGGGGCUGCAGUUCAUCUUCAACCUGCACCCCCCUGAGCCGCCAGCCACCACCGGCCGAACCACCGGCCCCAGCGCCACCUCACCACCCCGAAACAACUCGCCACUGCCGCCCUGGCCAACCCUCUAGGCCCCCCGCCCCCACCCUGAACCCUAAGAUAGAUAGUGGGGUACCUCUUCGGCGAGCCCCCGUCCCCGCUGUGGGUGGUUCUUCCUUAACUCCGGCGAGCCCCCCCCAACCCCUGAAAAUUGACUGACCCAAAAGUCAAUUCAGUCGACUGAAGUGUGGCUUAAUCGGAGCAGAGCAGCAACACGAGCGAGGGGGAGAGCAGUAGCAGCAGCUGGGCGAGCGAGCGAUCGAGCGAGAGCCGGAGCAGCAGCAGCAACGUGAGUGAGCGAGCGAGCGAGAGCCAGAGCAGCAGCAGCAGAUCUGGCUGGUAUGGACGCCGCCGCUGAAGGGGCCUCGCACUGGGGGAGAGCCAUCGUGGAGAUGUGCUACCUCUUGAGCACUGCGUUGGUUUUCCCCGAAGAGGAGAGGAUGAUGCAGUAAAGUAGCAUAAGUAUUUCCCUCGGUUUUGAGAACCAAGGUAUCAAUCCAGUAGGAGACCAUGCACAAGUCCCUCGUACCUACACAAAACGAUAGCUACUCGCAACCAACGCGAUUAGGGGUUGUCAAUCCCUUCACGGUCACUUACGAGGGUGAGAUCUGAUAGAGAUGAUAAAUAAUAUUUUUGGUAUUUUUGAUAGAUAGAUGCAAAGUGAAAAGUAAAAGGCAAAGUAAAGCCAAAGCAAAUAAUAAAGUGAUAGAUAUUGAUAUGAUGAGAAUAGACCCCGGGGCCAUAGGUUUCACUAGAGCCUUCUCUCAAGAGCAUAAGUAUUCUACGAUGGGUGAACAAAUUAUUGUUAAGCAAUUGACAGAAUUGAGCAUACUUAUGAACAUAUCUAGGCAAUGAUCAUGUAUAUAGGCAUCACGUUCGAGACAAGUAGAUCGAAACGAUUCUGCAUCUACUACUAUUACUCCACUCAUCGACCACUAUCCAGCAUGCAUCUAGAGUAUUAUGUUAAAACAGAGUAACGCCUUAAGCAAGAUGACAUGAUGUAGAGGGAUAAAUUCAUGCAAUAUGAUAAAAACCCCAUCUUGUUAUCCUCGAUGGAAACAAUACAAUACGUGCCUUGCAACCCUUUCUGUCACUGGAUAAGGACACCGCAAGAUCGAACCCAAAGCUAAGCACUACUCCCAUUGCAAGAACUACCAAUCUAGUUGGCCAAACCAAACGGAUAAUUCGAAGAGACUUGCAAAGAUAACUCAAUCAUACAUAAAAGAAUUCAGAGAAGAUUCAAAUAUUUUCCAUAGAUAAUCUGGAUCAUAAACCCACAAUUCAUCGGUCUCAACAAACACACCGCAAAAAGAAGAUUAGAUCGAAUAGUUCUCCACAAGAGAGGGGGAGAACAUUGUAUUGAGAUCCAAAAAGAGAGAAGAAGCCAUCUAGCUACUAGCUAUGGACCCGAAGGUCUGAAGUAAACUACUCACACUUCAUCAGAGAGGCUAUGGUGUUGAUGUAGAAGCCCUCCAUGGUAGAUGCCCCCUCCGGCGGAGCUCCGGAACAGGCCCCAAGAUGGGAUCUCGUGGAUACAGAAAGUUGCGGCGGUGGAAUUAGGUUUUUGGCUCCUCUUCUGAUCUGUCGGGGGUACGUAGGUAUAUAUUGGAGGAAGGAGUAUGUCGGUGGAGCAACAGGGGGCCCACGAGGUAGGGGGGGCGUGCCCAGGGGGGCGCCCCCCACCCUUGUGACCUCCUCGGUUACUUCUUGGAGUAGGGUCCAAGUCCCCUGGAUCAUGUUCGGUGAGAAAAUCAUGUUCCCGAAGGUUUUAUUCUGUUUGGACUCUGUUUGAUAUUCCGUUUCUUCGAAACACUGAAAUAGGCAAAAAAACAACAAUUCUGGGCUGGGCCUCCGGUUAAUAGGUUAGUCCAAAAAAUAAUAUAAAAGUGGAAAAUAAAGCCCAAUAUAGUCCAAAACAGUAGAUAAAGUAGCAUGGAGCAAUCAAAAAUUAUAGAUACGUUGGAGACGUAUCAAGAUGUCGCCCGCGGUGCUGGCUUCAAGGUAGCCGCUCCAUGGGGGUGCGUGAUGGAGCAUCGUCGGCACCGGGAGGUCGAGUUAAGGAGAAGGUGCGAUGCGAUGAGUGUACAACCUCUUUGGUGGCGCCGAGUAGGCCUCGGCUUCGUCCGAGGAGUCGGUGAGGAUGUUGCGGUUCCGGUGGACCAGGUUAAGGCGGCGCUGUGGGGAUGGAGCAGCCACGAUAGACGAGGCGAUCGUUGGAGCAGCUCCUUGGAGGUGGAGGACGGGGCGGCUGAACCGGCUGGACGGCGAUAUGGACGAUGGAUCCUCAUCCGGGGAGGUGGACGAGGGACGUGAGCUGUUGCGGUGGACGACGUCGUCGGGGAAGAGGCUCCGGCUGGGCAGCGGUGAUGUGGCGGACGGAGGAGGGUGGGGUUUCGCGGCUGGAGCGGAGAGGUUAUGGCGGCCCAGGAUUUAAAUGGCGAAAAGAGGGCGAUGGGAGGGGGUGAAGCAUGACUUAGGGACGCGCUUGUCCAAAAUGUAGGGUGUGUUACAAAAGUACCCCCCACCGAUUUGAACUAGCAGCCCUUUCGGCUCAGGGUUAGAAGGGGGAUUUCGCGUGUCGGGAUUUGGCAGCUGGAGGGAGUUUUCGCGCGUGUUGUAAUUUCGGGAUAGCAAGGCGCGGGUUGUGAAGGCGCCAGUUUUGGGAGCAUGAUAUCUGAAUUUUCGGGAUAUAACAAGACGCGGGUUGAAUUUUAGGGACAAGCCUAAUGUGUAGUAAUAUUGUACUUGUACGUACCAAAUCAAUUUGCACUUCCCUCAACCAAAAAGAAAACAAAAAAAAUAAAACUAUUCACACCACACAAAGAGAGAGUCUUGCCCCGUUUUACUAUACAAAUGCUAUUCAAAGCUACUCCCUCCUUCCAUCUAUAUAGGGCCUAAUGCGUUUCUCGAUGCUAACUUUGACCAAAUAUUAGAGCAAUGGUAUAUGACAUGCAACUUACACAAAGCACACGUUAACUUCGUCUGUGAAAGGUUCUUUCAAUGAUAUAAUUUUCACAUUGUGCAUGUCAUGUACUAUUAAUCUUGUCAAUAGUCAAAGGCGGUCUUAAAAAUCUCAUUACGCCCUAUAUAGAUGGAAGGAGGGAGUAUGAGUCCAUGUUAUGUCCGAUUAAUUUUUUUCGCUUGCUGUAUAAUGCAUGUAACCUACUCAUACCAACAUUUUAGUGCAUUCCAAAUGUCUAUACUACCGCUGCAAUUCGAACUAAAUUUGAAUUCGUUUCGCUAUUUCAAUAAGAAUCUACAAUCAUGAUUGUUGCCAACUUCAACCAUCAUUCAUGUAUUACCUUAAUAACACACCACAUGAUUACUAUAGAGAUAGAUAUGAACUAUGUGUACUACAUGAACUCGAAUUCUAUUUUUUGAAUACACUUGAUGUUGAUUCCAAAUAAUAGUACAUUUGAUGUACUAACUAUAUAUUCAUAAUCUAAACCAUGUUCCAUACGUACACCGUGUUUAUCACACAAAGUAUAGUGCCCCGCCCCCUACAUUAUGACAAGUAUUUAGACCUGAGUUGCAAAAGCCACACAUUAGCCCAAAUUAUAAUCACUGUUCUACAUUGUGAUAUCUUCUUCAAGUAUCCGUAUCCACCUUUUUAUAAAGAAUUAUGAUCUUUGUUCGUCUUUUACACCUUCAUGAUCCUCUUCUAUUUGUAGCUAGCUAGCGCUAACUUUCUAUCGUGCAUGCACACGCCCGCCCCCCUCACACACCCUUAGCGUCCCCUCCAUCGCACACGUUCAUUAUUUAUCUUUUGGUCGUCCACCAGCGGUGUGUGUAGGCCCCCGGCUCCUUCUUUCUGGCACACACCGGUCGAUAUACCUCUCUAGCCAAGUGUCCUACAACAAACACAUAUAUACUUCCCCUCUUCUCUUCUCACCGUCCAUGCCCCCAUAUGUCCAAUACGAUUCCACGCAGGUGCACACUCCCGCCCCUCUUUUCAUUAAUCACAUGCUCGCCCACUCCUCCCCCCUCGACAUGGUAGGCCUCUCGCACCACCUCCUAGCCACACCCUCUCCCCCCGUCUGCCUCUCCGGGCCUUAUUUGCUUCUAACACAUGCAGGCGUGUAUAUGAACUGAUCUCCCUACAUAUAGCCAGGUCGACUAUAAUUCGUUUUCACCAAGCACCAAUACACUUACCUCGCUAGUUAUGUCUCUCCUUUUCUCGGACACACGACAGUUGAUCUUCCUAUGUAGUUACGCAUGCUUACCACAACCAUAUCUUCUCCCCUCAUCAUCCUUGAAUACCCCCCGACCCGUCUCUCACACGCACAUGCAUAGACAGACAGACAUCCCCCGCCCUCUCUUAUUGAUAUUGCACUCAUACCCUCCAUUUGUCUAGCAGGCCUCUCCCACCAUUUGUGAGACGCCACUCCACCACCAACCCUCCGACGCUCUACCUUUGUCUUUUUCCCAACCUUAUUCCUCUGCUACACAUAUCCAUGGAUGUCGGUCGAUCUCCCUCAAUACAUAGCUAGGUCUCUCUUCUUCCCCACACGUAUACUAGUCGACCGGUCUCUACCCCCCCCCCACACCGAUAGUCGAACGUUGUAGGUAGGUAUCCAUGCCAUGGAGAAGAACUGCACCUCUGCCCUCUCAAAUUCCAGUAGGCCAGCCGCCCUGUAUCUUUGACGUGGGCAAACACAAAUUUGAUGGCACUCUUUAUCGAUCGCGCAGCCACACACUUCAUCCAUGUUUUCAAUUCUAUCGAUAUCUCACGUCCAUGACUCCAUUUCACACACAUUGCAUAUGUUACAUUUUUCUGAUUGAGAUAUCAUCAACACAUUGCCUCUGUUUCGCACAAACCAUCUCUCUCACACCCACCCACGUACGUACCUGCACCUAAAGAAGAAGUGCACGCAGGACACACGUACUCACGUCUCGUUCCCGGCCACACCCGCGCUGGUACACAGUGGAGUUUGUUUCUGUACGAAAAGGCAGCCCACGUGAUAAUUUGACACGUGUAGCGGUUGUUUACACGAAGGAGGGUCAGGUACCACGCCUACAUUAUAAAACGAUUGUCGUGGGGAAAAUGGAAAAAUGGGUUUGUCUCUCGUGAGUCUCGUCACACAAUAUCACACAAGGCCGUCGUGGCCUCUCUCUCAGCGUUGGUCAGUGAUCUGGCUGCAUCCCAUCCACCAGUGGAGAGGGAAGAUGUGCAUCGUCUCUCCGUUCGACGGUGUUGAGGUAGCUCGUCCCGAUCUGCGGUACCCGCCAUUCUCUCUGACCAAGCUCCGGCGCGGUAGGGCCUUCGCCACUUGCUCGCUGCCGCAGUAUGGGCAGAUCCCGGCCGCCGGCGCCCUCCUAGUAACAUCUCGACGACCCUCAGGUACAGCUUCCUCCGGCCUUGCUCCACUUCCCAUCUUCCCAUGUUACUGCAUGUGGAUCUUCUUUAGUUGUUUGCUUAAAUUGUAUCUCGGCCGGCGUACUUUCCAUCUUGCAAUCUUGUCCUCAAACCAUUUUUGAUAAACCACCAUGUGCUAUCUUUCCCUUUUUACAUGGAACAUGCUUCUUUUUUGUCGGCGUAUGUGUCUUCAACUCGUGUUAUUGGGAAGUAAUUGUUUCCUUUCGACCUCCUUCUGCAAACAGGGCUAUCCAUUUUCACCUUGUUGCUAUUGCGACCUUUUGGUGAACUGCACAAAUCACUUUUCUGAAGAGUGUUUUGUGCAGUUCCGCCAAAAUGUCACACGGGCAAUGUUUUUACAUUUCUGUGGGACUGCGGAAAGGGAGAUUGGUUUUGCUAUCCUCCUCAUCCAACUCCAUGCCUAAUCUUCUCCAACAAGAAGUUAGUCCUAAAGAGAGAUCGUAGAGGUGAUCGGCUUCUAUUUAUGUGUGUUAUGUUUCAUCAUCUAGUUCCACUAUUAUUGUAAUCACACUGACUGGAUAUCUUUGCAAGCAGGGAUGGUCCACCCGAUUUUAGUGGAGCUGCACAAAAUGAUCGGAUUGUGGUGUCCUUCAUACACCUCUUUUUUGGCUACGGUGAAACUACCUGCCAAGCAAUGAACAAUAUGCCAAGGAAAUGGAGCCAUGCCUACGAACAACAUCGAUCAAUUAUAUAUUUUUCUUUAUUUGUACACCUUCUCACAACUUUGUCUUCAGUUGUGAUGUGAAUAUUGACGCUGAUCUGCAAACCAUUGAGAUGCAUUAGCCAUGGUAGUUUCAUUUGUAUUUGAUCGAAUGUUGUAACGAGAUAAUCUCGAGGCAAGACACAUGUAUCCUAAGUUGAAACCUUUUUUUUCCUGCGGGAACCAGAGUUGAAACCUUCAUAGCAUCACAGUACAAUUUCAUCAAAAUUAUGCGUACAUAUAAACAAAUCCUGAAGGAUUGAUAGCAAUGCCAGAAACAAUUCAACUUCAUUUCGCCGACAUGUUGGACAUCCUUCAUCCGGCUCCACCUGCCAUGCAGCAAUAUUGAGUGCACAACACAACUUCAGGGAAAGAUUCACCCCGGUCGUUGCGCCGCAGUAGUAAUGACUAGUGAGUAGUCAAAUCACAGAGCCCCACCUUCGCCACAGUAAGUUGCUCGGACGAAGCAACCAUCAUUUCUCCAUUCCUUAAAUCCGCUAGUACUCCCAUAUUCCCACAGUAAUAAGUUGCUCGGGCGAAUCAACCAUCACUAUAUCCGCUCAUGUGUGAUGACCACGAGAGCUAUCCAUUCAGAUUGGAUGUUAAAAAAAUAAAGGUCGAUAACUAAUGCGGCAAACUUUCAAAAAAAAAACUAAUGCGGCACCUCGGGCCAACGCGACCAGAUCGCAUUUCGCACGAGAAAUUACACACCAUGUUUCGUUGACAUGUGGUCCCGUUCCAACAUAUCAGUCAGAUGACAACGAGUAGUAGGAGUGUUUUCGAACCGACGUGUAGGCCGGGGCGCCCCUUCGUGAACCGUGGCAAACUGGCAACCGUCCGCCGACUCUUCGCCUUUCCUUCUUGAUUUGGAACUGCUAUUGCACGCUCUUUCUCUCCCUCCUCCAUUUUCCUUCAGCCCUUCACCCUUUCUUCUGCCAUUGUUCGAUCAUCUUCUCCAUGGAGCGAACAGGAUAGAAACGACCCCGUUAUUCUUGCCCCGAUCUGAAAGAUGACGUGGUGGAGGAUCUCAUUGAUCGGUGCGACGUCAUCACCUCGGCUAGCAUGGCAGGUUCGUUCAAGCCCAUUCUUGACUCAACUAAUAACAUCAUUACAAGGAACCCAAGAGUCAAGGAGCGGUUUGAUCUCCCCUAUCUUCUUCGCUAUGACCCUGAUGACUGGUGCCGUCACGACGGAGGCCUCACCCUGUGCAAGUUGACGUCGCUUGAUAAUGAUACGUAUGAUGUUAAGAUGCCAUCGCUUGAGGGCAAGGCUUGGGCAGGCGCAAAUGGAGAUUGGGUUGUUUACAUUGGGUCCAACUGCGAGUGGGAACUUGUGAAUGUGUACACUCGUGACCGGGUUCCACUUCCAAAAAUCUCAGCAGACUGCCCAGAGGUUGAGCACACCGGUAUUGUACACACGUUCAAAUAUAAUCAUGGUGACUAUCUUCUAUGGAAGAUACUAAUUUGUCGAGUUCCCAACCUCUCUUGGAAUUACAACAACUAUGAAGUUGUUGCUAUCUUCGACAAGCUUGUUGCCGUCCUUCGUGGUUUGACUCGAUGGAUAUUGCUCAAAAAUCAGUUUCUGUACACGGAUGAGUACUGUGAUGCAAUUGAAUACAAGGGCCUUGUGUUUGCUGCCACCACUCGUGGCACUGUUUUUGCAUGGAAUCCUCGUAGUUUCGGUAUGUUUGUCUUCCACCAUAAUUAUAAUUGUUUCAUCCACAUGCAUGCAGGUUAGCAAGUUUCCCUUUACUAAUUAACCUUCUUCUUGUGUUUCCAAGGUCCUGUGACCAUUCCACCACCCAUACUUGAAAAUUUUAUAACCAAGGGGGAGAUGACGAUGGUGAUGAUCACGAGCAUGAGGACGAGCAGCGCCCAUAUACUUUGUGGCGCCUGGCAACUAAUUCCGAUGGAUCACCUCUUCUUGUGUGUAUACAGCCCACUGAUGAUGUUACUGCUAAGGAAGCAGGUGUAGUCUCCCAUGGUCGCACUCUCCGGACCUAUUCCAACACCCAUUGCAUGGUAUUCAGGAUGGAUACUAGUGUGCUAGCGCCAACUCCUUCUCCCUGUUACAGAAUUGAUAGUCUUGGUGAAAACUCGCUCUUCCUUGGACAAAACUAUCCAAUGAUGGUGAAAGGCGAUCCAACUGCUAUUGACACAAUGUUACUACCAUUUAUGAGAAGCAACUGCGUCUAUACCUCGGACAUUUGGGUGGUUCCCUACCCUGGUACUGAUAUAGUAGGCCGCUUCAGCCUGGAUGAUCAAUCCUGCAUUGGUCUCCAGAUCGACAAUGGAUGGCCCGUCCCAGAGAAUCACUUGUGGUUCAAAGCAAGCGUUUCCAACGCCAAGGAAUAGUUGAGUUGAAGUUCAUUUCAUUGCUUGUUAUUUGUUGUGUGGUGAAAACUUUAGUAUUUAUAAUGUAUCUCGUUGUCGAUUGAUGUGGGUUGAUGAUCUGUUGUAUGUAAUAAAAUGAUAUGCCUGUGAUAAACUUACUAAAUUUAUGAAUGGCUUUCGAGUCUCUUCUGUGAGUGAGUGGUGCGACGAGGCAAAAAAAUAUUUUCUGAAUACAUAAUUGUACAUGCAUUGCAACAGGUUAUCGGAUGAGGCCAAUCAACAAUAGUAGUACACUAUUUGUACUAGCUUCACAUGCUUCGCGCGUUGUGCGGGUGUUUUUACUGUAGCCAUAUUGUACUACGUAACCAGCACCUCGAAUCCUCGAUACAGUACUAGUAGUACUAUAUAGUAAGUAGUAGGAGUAGUAGGGUGGCAUGGGCCAGAACAAGCAUUCACAUCCAGGAGUACGGCACACGCCACCAGCACGACUUCCAUCUGACACCAUAUUUCUUGGAGUCCGUGCUAGAGCAAUCUCUUCAACCUCAUUGUUUCUCUAACUCAGCCAUCGCGCGGCGGGCGAGGUGGGGGUUUGCCGAUAGUCGGUUUCCUUAACUGCGGUCCCACUUGUAAGGUCAACUGCAACGCACGACCACAAACGGACCUCCGUUUUGCACGAACUCCAACGAUAAUUUUGACUAGAAAAGCAAGACCAAAGAAAACAAGAACCACAAGAAUACAUUUUACUACUCCUGUAAGUUGGAUUAGUGCCUUCUUGAUGCAUUCAUUGUUGAUCUGCGGAGGCUCGAUCUUGCGUGCUUCUUUCUUCUUCGAGUGUAAAGAAGUAGACGUUGCUUCCUCGCAUCUAAUCUCAUGUCUAGCCUCUAUUCUAGUACUCCCUCUGGUCCGUUUUUCUCUGCGUCUAAGAAGCAACACGCAUACCAAGUAGGAGUAUCAACAAGUGCACUAAUCUCAUCUAUAGCCUCUGUGCUAGCUAAAAGUGAUAGAACAUCUACUAAAUUGCGCUCUAUCGAUAUAUGGAUGUACUCUUCUUCCCAAUACAAAAACUUGCAUCCAUUCUACUCCCUCCGUUGCACAAUACAUGCCUUCUAUUUGUCAAAAUAUAUAUGUAUCUAGACAUGUUUUAGUAUAUAGGUACAUCCAUUUUUGGACAAAUGAAAGUCAAGUAUUUUGGAACGGAGGGAGUACACAAUAAAAAUUUUAAGUUAGCACAACUAGUCUAAUCCGAGAGCACAACAGAAGAUUUGGUCGGGUUCUUCCUCCUUUUGCCGACACAUGGGAUAUCCAACAUCCAGGUCGUGUCAUGAAAGAAAAUAGAGUGGUAGUUGAAGCCACGAGAUGUGCAUCUUGGGUUAAACUGUAAAUAGAAUCUUACUACUCUUGAGUAACUCCAAAAGCGGCCACCGAAGAUCUUUCUUGGAUUUGUUUUUCAUCACCAGCACGUCGAGGUGAAAGAUGCGCAGGUUCAGUGGGUCCUCUUGCGUUUUCAUUGACAUGUGGGGCCGCAUGUGAGCAAACAGAUGAUGGGCUCCGCGCGUCCGCUGGCUGGCUGAGAAGAGAGAUAGAGGAGGGCUGAGCACGGACUGCGGGAAAUUUGUUCUAUGUAACCAGCACCUUGAUAUUCGUGUGUGGUUGUUUCUAGAAUAAAAAAAGGAGGUACAUCUACUUAUGUUACUCCCACUACGCCUAGCCUAAGGUUAGUAGGUGACCUUGCGCUUGGCUCUUCGCCUCUUCCGGAAGUCGAUGGUUCUACAGUAGUGCUUCUGGCAAUCUGACACCAAAUGAACUAUUGCACGUCCACCACUUGUAAGCAAAAGUUUCUCCUCGUGCUGCGAGCCACCACGCACACAUUGGCAAGGGAGAAGGCGUAAUCAAGCUUCUCGUCGUUCUGCGAGUUGACGGGACACAUCAAAGUUAUUUACUAGUAGUACAUACUCUCUCCAAAAAAGGGCUGACCAUGUCAUUGCUACCAUCCUGUGCUCCAUUGUUGAGUACGUGCACUAUUCACGUGCCAUUCACGUGCCAUCGAGGAGAAAAAAUAUUGCGUAGGUGCCAUCAAAGUGCAUGACUCACUUACGGAAAAGGGUUUCCCCCCGCUUCCUCCCCUCCCCCGCAUGACUCACUUACGCACUGCUUAUCUGAUUAUCUCCAUUUUCUUGCAUGACACGUGCACCUUGAUGCUAGAUGUCUCGCGUGUUGGGAAAAGGAUGAACAAAGCUCACGUAAAAGAAAAGAGUUAAAGAGCAUAGAUUCCCGACGAUCGAGGAGGAGCAAGGAACCUCGCGGUGGAGCGUCUGCAAGGAACCUUGCGCAUUUUCCCCUGUUUUUUGCCGCCUGCCCACCUAUAAACAACUAAAAGAACAUGAACUUUUUGCUAACCACUAGAAACAGUACAUCAUGAUGCUAAGUUGAAGAUGUUUUAUACUCCCUCUGUUCCCAAAUAUAAGUCUUUUUAGAUAUUUCAAUAAGGGACUACAUACGAAACAAAAUGAGUGAAUCUACACUCUAAAAUAUGUACACAAGCCAACGCACUAACUCCAUCCGAUCCAACUCAUGCACAUACGCGCACAGCAUGGAGCACACAACGCACGUACACAAGACGUGCAUGCACACACGCUCGGCCGCAGAAUGCACGUGAAUAACACAUGCAUGCGCACACACUCGGCUGCAUGGAGGCGUGCGCCAUCCGCGGCGACGUCCGGUUCGUCGUGCUACGACGAAGCUCACAUGCAACGGCGCAUACGCAUCUCUUGCAGCACCACUUUGUCGUUGUUGCUCAACUACUAGUCGGAGACGAAGACGACCGCAACCUCGGCCUUAGAGCUAGCACCGAUGGAAAACACGCAUGCUGCACGCACACGAGCACAUACGGAGUGCCCACAACGUGGUGGUGGUGUGUCCCCAGUCGCCUCUACUCCUUCUGCGCACGUUGUCUAUCAAGGCGGCUGCAUGCUAAUGAUGAUGUGGGUGAGAUCUUCUAGGACUCAGAUGAUGACGAGGAAAAUUAUGAGACACAAGGUGACGUACACUGUCAAGGUCCACGGUCAAGGGGGUGCUAGCAAGUGCUUAGAUGUGCUUAGAGCAAGUACAAUAGAGCUGAGUCAGCAGGCUAUAAGGAAUAAAUAGUAGUAUAUUUCUGCUUAGGCUGGUUGUAAUGGGGAGUAUCAUAUACUAGUAUCAUGCAUAUGAUACUAGUGUAUGAUACUUACCUCCGUAAUGCAUAGUAUCAUAUAGUAGUAUCAUGUAGUACUCUAUUUAUUGUCAUGCAUGAUACAAAGUAGCAUAGCAUUUAUUAUGAUACGGUAUCAUGAUAUGAUACUCCACUCUUUCUUUCUUCAUUUAAUGCUAUGACACCUCGUCAAAAUUUCCUAGUUGGCAUGCAUGAUACUAGCUAUGAUACUCCAUUACGACCAACCUUAGUUGGAGGAAAGAGAAGAGGAGAGAGAAGGUAAGCGGGCUCUUCAUGAAGAGCCAGCUCUAGCACGUGCUCCUAGGCACUUUGUACAUGUUGACUAUAAGAUGGGAUGUAGGCUUAUAGCCAGCAGCUGGCUAUACUAUUAAUGCUCUUUAGAUGAGGUGCUAAGUGCAUUAAAUGGCUUAGUAACUCAAGUGUUCAAUGCAUAGGUGCUUAGUUUAUUGGUGCCACAUCAUAUUUUAUGCCUACGUGGCAGGCUUAGCAGCUAUACAUGGUGGAGCACUGGGAGAGGCCAAGGUUGAUCAUAGUGGGGAGUAACUUGUACUGUAACAUAUUAGUAUGUUACUCUAAACAUCUCUAUAAACCGGAAAGGAGGGAGUAGUAACAUAGACUAGUGUCAUAUGCAGAGUAUGGGAGCACAUGAUAUUUCCCCGUCCGGACCGAUCCCAAGUUGGCUUCUCACCUUCUUGGCCCAACAAAAACCCCUUCCCCCUCCCGCGCGCACUUCCCGCCCGGAGCCAGCUCAUGAGCCUGCCACUCCACAUUGAUGGCAAGUCAGGGCAACACGACCUCUCACUGCUUCCGCCGUUGAAGCGGCGCGCCAACCGAGGGCACCACCCACUGCACGCCUGGCAUUUCAGACUACACAGUGGAUAGUAACUUUUAGAGCAAGUACUAUAAUUAGAUGACAUAAGCAGGCUAUAAGGAUUUAAAUAUAGUAUUUGUGAUUAGUUGAAGGAGAGAGAAGAGGAGAGAGAAGAGAAGCAGAUUGUAAACGUGUAGCCGGUUGUACUCCAACAUACUCUACUUUGUGAGACAAAAGGUGGGGCCAUUAUUAAUGAUAUUGUAUUUAUACUAAAGGGACUAACGGACGACUUAAUUACUUCAUUUUUUUAGACAAACCUUGGUGGGGCUAUUAUUGACUUUUUUUGAGCUAUUAUUGACUUGGACGUGGGGUUUGGGGGCCAAAGGCCUACUAUUAUACUCCGACCUGACAUGCUCUACCCUAGCCGCCGCUGUAUCAUAUGGUUUCUCACCGUUCCAGAUCUUAGUGCCGCCAAGCAAUUCUUCUCUAGCCCUCCUUCCAGCAUGCACCGUGAGAAGGGACAGCAGUCCUCCGAACCCCGCCUUUCGUGAUCCUGUACGGGAGAGGGGCGAUCAGGUUUUUGGGGAGCACACUCAUGUGACUGCUGCCAGCGACGACUUCCUCAACGACAGCCUUCUUCCCCGACCUCGGUAACCUCUUCAUCAACGACAUGAGUGACAACAUCAACCACAUCGGUUCUGGUCCCGCUGUACAGUAUGUGAUUCUGUCCUCCUGGUUUAGUCCGCAUCAUUACUUUGAUGUUUGCAAUUCUCGUCAUGAUCUAUUUACUGCUGAUUCGGAUUAAAUCUCAUACUAAAUUGCUCAUAUAUUCAACAAUCCAAUCCAAAAACCUGAUCACAGGGAAUUUACUCCGAGUGGUUUUGCUGCGCUUUUGAAGCCGCCUACUUUUAAGGGGGUGCAAUAUAAAAGGUGGCGCACAAGAGCAGUAUAUUGGUUUCAGAUCAUGUACUGCUAUGACGCCACUAAGGGUAAGCCUGAGGGCGAUCUUAAUCCUACACAGCAGGAAGCUUUUCAGAACAUGGAUACCCUCUUCAAAGCCGCCCUGCUGAGUGUUCUUGACGAUUCCAUUGUGGAUUCGUAUAUGUUGUUUGACAGCGCAAAGACAUGUGGGUUGCGCUCGAGGCCACGUUUGGGCCCUCGGGCGCUGGCAACGAGUUGUAAGUCAUGGAGCAAUUCUGUGACUACAAGAUGACUGAUGAGCGCUCUGUUGUUCAGCAGACUCAUGAGAUACAGUCACUCUCUAAGGAACUUGAGUACUUUAAGUGUGUGUUGCCGGACAAAUUUGUUGCUGGGACCAUCAUUGCCAAGCGUCCACCUUCGUGGAACGAUUUUGCUACUUCUCUGAAAAACAAGAGACAUGAUUUUUCUGUUUUGGAUCUCAUUAGCACUCUUGAUUUUGAGGAGAAGGCGAGAACAAAAGACACACUUGCUCGGGUCGCCGAGGGAGCUUCUAGUGCCCACAUGGUACAUGAGAAGAACUUCCAGCCCAACCAGCCCCAAAACAACAAGAACAAAUCUCAGGGGAAAGGCAAGUUUGAUGCAAAGAACAAGCCGUCACAUUCUACCAACUUCAAGAAGAAUUCUCAUAACGGGAAGGGAUACAAACCUCAAUUUUGGUGGCACCGCACAAAAUUUAUAUGGCUGCAUCUACCUGCUGUCAGCUAACCUCAUGGUGCUCCAGGUAUUCCUACAUUCGUAACUAGGUACAAUGACCACCACAAGAUGAAAUUAGCUUAUUCGUACGUUGACUUGCUGAAUGCAGUGUGGAACGAUCCUGUCAUGUGUGGAGGAGCAAACAAGCAGUGCAACCGAAGGUGGAAAUCAACCAAGGACUUAUGAAAUUAUAUGUAAUCUUCCUUAGGCAGGUCAGUAUCCCCUUCGUCCAGAUGAUCGUGUUUUGUCAUGCCGAGCUAUUGAUAUGUGCUACUAUUUUGCAACAUCGUUUAAGUAUAGCUACUAUUUUCCUAUCUUUUCAGAUUCAGGACAAUGAAUAUGAUAUCAGGGGAACUGCACAGUAUGGACCCAUGUUGAGUCAUCUCUAUUGCCUCAUGUGUUUGCUGCAAAUGUGUCAGCAUCAAUUGCAAGAUGAGGCAGCUAGCUAGCUGUGGAGUUGCCAACAUGCUCAAAGUGCUCGCAACAUUGAGAAGAAACAAGCAUGCCCAGGAAAUUAAUGCGUGCGCAGGGAGGCCCUUUGCUCAGAGAAGCAUCGAUCGAUUUUCUUUAUUUCCACACCUUCUCACAGUUUUGUAUAUUGGUUAUAGUAUGGUGAAUCAUUGAGAUGCAUAGACAUGCUGAACUUUUAUUCUUCUGAAUGUUAGUUUAAUGUGAGUGUCUGCAUCCAGUACCGCAUCCUCUAAUUUGGUGGAUGCACACAGAGAAAAUAAAUCUCCUUAAUUUACUCCAUAACCACCCUAUUAAAUAGGCCUAGUAACAAACCAGGCGCAUGCAGUGGCCGGCGGGCACAUGCAUCCUGCAUGCAUGGCCAGUCAUGCAGCAACGCAAAAGAAGAGAGCGGUUCUUGAGAAAAAGCGAGUAGUUAGUGCAGCGGGCCCCCGCUCACCUUCUUCCUCACUCGUACAGAAAACGCCUGCUCCUCUUCUUACACUCCUACAGAAAUCCCCAGCCCUCCUUCUUCCCCACUCGCACUGCCACUAGGCUCAUCUCUGGCUACUCUACUCAAACCCGUGAGCUCGGCGUGACGCCCACAAGGAAAAUGGAGUCGGCUGGCCCCAGCACCAAGAAGAUGAGGCUCCCGCCAGCGGCGACGCUGGUUGUAGAUCCCGCACCCGGUAGCGCNNNNNNNNNNUGAGGAACCGGUAGAAUCUCCGGUGGACCGCAUCGGCAAUCCCCCGGACGUCAUCCAUGAGGAGAUCAUCUCGCUUCUCCCCACCAAGGAUUGCUGCCGCACACAAGUCCUCUCAACUCGGUGGCGCCCUCUAUGGCGCACCGCGCCCCUCAAUCUCGACUGUUGUCAGAUAUCUGUCCUUCCUGAAUUUGAUCUCAUCAGAGCCAUCGUCUCUUCUCACCAGCAGGGCCCCGUUCAAUACCUCUGCAUCCCAACAAGCUACUUGUUGUCCAUACCCGGCAAGGUGGACGCUUGGCUGACAUCCCCUGAAUUCGGAAAACUCCAGCAGUUUGAGUUCUACCAUUACCAUGAAAGUUUCAUACCACGAACAUACCAAGAAUUCGUGCCCACACCACAGUUGUCCAUCUCGCAGUUUUCCUCCUCUCUCCACACCGCCACCUUCGCCCGGUGCCAUCUACCAGACAAUCUAGUACAAAUGCUUCGACUCCCACUGCUAAAAAAACUUUCGCUUGUGGUGGUUUAUCUGUCGGAGUCCUCACUGCACAGCAUCAUCCACUCCAGUUGCCCUGCCCUGGAGCGCUUGUUGAUUGUUUUGGGAAUAGAAAUCGGUAUCAGUUGUCUCCAAAUAAAGUCGCCUCACCUUAAAAGCAUUGGAAUUUGUUUUGAAGGAUAGCAGCUCAUCAUCGAAGAUGCCCCUUCACUUGAAAGGUUGCUCCUUGAUAAUUGUUAUACACCUUCAGAAAUAACUGUCGUCUCUGCGCCCAAACUGGAGACCUUGGGUGUAAUUAGUGACCCGUUUAAUAAUCACAAGGAGUUGGUGUUUGGCUCCUCACCUUUUCAGGUACCGUAUAUUAUCAUCUACACAUUUGUAAUCAUAUGCUGCAUUUUUCAUUUGUGCGCAUAAGUUUUAUAUCAUCUUGGAGUACACUUUGGGUACUAAUAUUAUGUUAUAUGCUCAAUGAAGAGUUCGUCCAUUGAUAGCCUAUCAAUGCUGCUGGAUUCUGUCAAGAUCAUAUAUAUCAGAAUGUAUAGUUUUGAUCUGGACAUAAUUAUUGGCUUGCUGUGAUGCUUUCGAUCUCUGGAGAAUUUAUACAUAGAGGUGAUGAUUUCAUGCACAUUGAAAGCCCGUAUAUAUUGUACUAGAAUUAACUGUUCAGCUGUCGUUCUUUCGACAUACUCUUUUUUCAGACCUUAGCUAUUUUCAAUCUUCAUGUCUACUUAGGCAGAACCACCUGGAGAAAAACAUAUAACCAAUCGUUGGCGUAAUAAGCACAAGGAUUUUCUCAGUUCUCAUGAUAUUCGUUUGAGGACAAUAACGAUGGGACGAUAUGCAUCCAACCAGGAAAACAAAAGCUUUGUCACAUUGUUCCUGUUGAAUGCGAGGUUACUAUUGUCCAUGAGGCUUAAAUUUUACAGCAAGAGAUUUCUCACGGACGAACAUGUUGAACAGCAAAAAAGAUGUUUCAAGUGGACAAAUGGGCUUCUAAAUGUGCUCGGCGUCUAUUUACAACAAGUUGUAGACAUCCUAAAUUAAUUUUUUUUGCACAGGAUGUUGAUUUUAUGGAUCAGACCGAUCCAUUUGUUUGUGACUGCAAAAAAGAGUGGUUGGGUUAGAUGUUACUAUCAUGUUCAAUCUGGGUUUUGUCUAAAAAAAUUAUGAACAAUUAAUCCUUGGGCUUUUUGUACCAUUUGUAUGCUUGACUUGUAUGUUGUUGCCCUCGUACUCCCCUCCACCUGCCACUACACUACCGCAUCUUCCAUGGCUGUUGUUCGUUCCCGUCCGAGGCCUUGCCAUCGUUCUCCGCCUUAGUUAGCUCACUGUGCUCGCCGCCGUCUGGUGUUGUCAACAUGGUCAACAACCAAGAGGAAUCAGGAGA
RNAcentral lists this long non-coding RNA (62151 nucleotides) under Triticum aestivum (bread wheat). RNAcentral's name for it is "long non-coding RNA (TAES_LNC027516)". The stretch from base 54502 to 54637 matches the Rfam family "MIR1120/MIR1122 microRNA precursor family". Lineage: Eukaryota; Viridiplantae; Streptophyta; Magnoliopsida; Poales; Poaceae. The record is from RNAcentral.